Molecule: long non-coding RNA, 85259 nt
Filed under: Medicago truncatula (barrel medic)
Lineage: Eukaryota; Viridiplantae; Streptophyta; Magnoliopsida; Fabales; Fabaceae
Description: long non-coding RNA (MTRU_LNC000934)
Source: RNAcentral
CAAUUGUGACUCCCUUUUUCUUCAAGCAAUUAGCGCUAGGAAAGAAACUCUGCCUUGAACUGCGGGUUUCUUAAAUGCUUCAGUAGAGAGUUAAGUACAAUUGUUUGGUUUUUGCUCCUAGACUAUGAAAUGCAUAAAAAGUAAAACAAAGACAUAUUGAUAAAAAGAUAAAAUAUCAAAAAUAGUUUUGUAUUUAAUUGGAUUUUUUCACAAUGUAUAGAAUAGUUAUUUAUAAGCAAAUAUAUUGGUAUUGGACAAAAUAAAGUGGCCUACAACAACAAUGUCGUCUGACCCCACUCGAUUAAUUUUGCGGUAGUGAGUUAGUUUUUCUUAUCGAGGGUUAAGCUUGGUUGGCAGCUUCAUUCUUUACUAUAUUAUUCGUUGAUAAGGUCUUUAGUCCACAACCUUCCCAUGAACCCCAACCAUUUGUGACACUAAAACAUGGAGCAUGAGUUUUAAGCCUCAUUAUCCAUUCUUACCGAGCUUGGACUCUGCCUGCGGCGAUCCUCGUGACUCAUGUCCUCAUCAAUAGACUUGAGAAAGAACUACAUUUCCCCAACUUGGUUAUCUUAAUUCUUUAUUGUCUAUUAUAUGUCGAUAUCGGCUAACUAGUUAUUUUUAAAUGUAAACAUUAGCAUACUCAUAAAGUGUUGACACGCACACAAACGUGUGCCUUUGCAAAAACAUUAUUAUGUAAGCAUGAAAUGUUUUACUAAUCAUUUUAUGGCUCAAGUGAGACACGCGUAGAUAAAUUCCUUCACAAAAAGUUGCACAAAGAUAUAUAGUAGGCCAUGCAUGGAUUUUCACUGGUUUAAUGAGGUGAGUUUGUGAUGUCAUGGUUUGAAAUAUUUUCAAACCGAGGUUAGCCAGCUUACAUUUCUGUCUUAUGUACUUUUUUUGGGUUAGAAAUGCAUCUCUCGUGUCUGUUUAGUACUUUCAAAGUCAAUGUGAUGUUUAUCACAUAAGAAGGAGUAUUCUACUAGCAAAGUUAUCUACAUUAGAAACGGAAGCAUUGGAAAAAUGACUGCUACCUAACACCUCAGCUUCUUCUCCACUUAAUAGAGAAAAAUUAUUUAGAUGCUCGAAUUAAUUGAACAUAGAUUGAUAUUUGACAUUAACUUAAGUUUUUUCUUUUGAAAGAUUAGACAUUUGACAUUAACUUAAGUUAGAAUGUUUGUUUUAUAUUUUAGUGAUUUAAAAAAAAUUAUAUUUUUAUUUGAUAAUUUUAUAUUACGUUCUUAUAUAACGAGAAAGUAUACAUAUUAAAAAAGUAAAUAAUAAAUAUUUUUGAGUGUUUCUAUGUGAUGUAUGUAUUUUUCAAAAAGUUCUAUAGAAUUUGAGCUUACUAAAACGUAAAAAAUAUUUGAAAGAGAGGUUUUAAAAACCAAAACUUUAUGUUAUUUCAUACAUAAAGCCUCAACUAAGGAGCUUUUCAUUCUGCCUCAAGUCCAAGGUAAACCAUUUUCAAAGUAUUGUCUUCUUUGUUCUUGUAUGAUCCCCAUAAUAUGAUCCUUUAUAAAAAAACCGUUUAGAUGGAUAAAAAAGUAUGUGUUGUUUAUAAACUAUUUUAACUUCGUUUAUAAAAUAGGAGGUUCUAUCUAUAACUUCAAGUGCAACAACCGGUAACAUAAUAGGAGGUUCAAUCUUAGGUGGCAAUUCAUUGAAAGCAUCAACGAGAACAUCUAUUACUCAAACAAUGUGAAAGCAUGGUCAGAAAAUACAACCAGUUUAUGUACUGGUGGUUUUCGGAUUAUAGAAUCCGGAUCACCUUGUUGAUUUCGGGUUUAAAAAUCCGAAUAGUGCCAGCACAGAUUCAUUGACGUGAUCAAAAGGAAAACGCUUAGAAAUCAAAUGAGGGAGGUUUUAUAUAAACAUUACCUUUGCAUUCAGACAAAAAUGAUGUAGUAAACGCCCCUUGAUGACCAGAUUGCUACCCCAAAUCACUUUUUCGUCCAAAAUGGUGUGUUUUUGGAGGAUGUAGGGAAUGUUUAGUGAUAAAGGUGGUGAACUUUUGCUAGGUUUCGGAUGAACCUUAUAUAUUCAAACAUUUUGGAUUGUACAAUUCGAUAUUUUUCCCACUUUUUUAAAAGGGGAUAUUUCGGAUUAUAAAUUCCAAAAUAUAUAAAUAAAAUUCAGUUUGUAUAAUCCGAAAGUUGUUUCACCAUAUUUUUGUCAAGGAUGGCUUAGUCAUGUAGACCUUCAAUUUUUUUAACACAUUUAGAUUUUAGAAUCCAAACUUGGUUCAGAGUCUAAAAUCCAAACAAAGGGUAAUUUAGAAAUAAAAUAGGGUGCACGAGAAUGCUAUAGGAUGGAAAAAGUAAACGCCUAAUCUAAUCACAGUUAAAUUGUGACACAUGCGUGAGUUAACUCACACUGAGAAUACACCUGUGUGAGUUAACUCACGCUCGGCUAUUUUGACGGGGAUGAGCAAAAAUAGAUGGGAGAUGAGCGGUACUCCAAGCCAUGAGCCGACCCCGUUUGGGCUUUGCCCUCUUUUGUUAAAAAAACAUUAUUAACUUAUUGAUUUAAGACUGUUUACUGCAUAAAAUCUUACAAACACGUUGAAACAUUUCGAAUUUUAGAAUACGAAUAGCGUGCGCGAAAACCAUAUAGAGUGGAAAAAAUAAUGACCUUGAUCUAAUACCAAAAUCAUAAAUUUGUUAGCGUGCCCCGUAAUCUCACUUCUAAAAUAGUUUUUUCUUGAAAGUAAUAUAAAGUUUCAAUGAAUAGAAAGACUAUACUCCUAGAUCUUAAAUACAAUCCAUUUUGUUCAAUUUCAUUAAAUAAUCGAUGUAUUUAUCUAUAUUAUAAAUAAAUUAUUCAAUGAAUUUGUAAAAAGAAUCUUAUUUAUAGGGUUAAAUAUAUUUUUUGUCCCUAUAAAUAUGCCAACUUCUCAUAUUAGUACCGCUUAAAAAUUUCUUCAAUUUUUAGUCCAUAAAUUUUUUACUAUCAUCACUUUUAGGUCAUACUUUUAAGUCAGGUCAUGUGUAUUCUUCAUAUUUUUGAAUAAAAUUUUGCAGAAAUGUUUAAAAUAUUAUAAAAAUCUCUCUAGAAAAAAAUUUAUAAUUUAUUAAUAAAAUAUGAUUUUUUUUGUUGUUGAGAUUUUUAUAACAUUCUAUAUGGUCAUAAAAAAUUUCAUUUAAAAAUACGAGAGUUACACAUGAGUUGAUUUAAAAGUAGAACAAAAAAUGACGAUACAAUUUUUUAAUUAACUAAACGACAAUUUUUUUAGGGAAAUUAAUAUUUUUUUUAAUAUAUUUAUCAUCAGGAAAAACAUAUUUAAACCUUAUUUAUAUUUCAAAAUAGAGGGAUUAUAAAGAUUUGCUCAAAGUAGACAUUAGACAACCCUAUGUGCUUGAGUUGAGUGUGUGAUGGAUUAGAGGAGGGAAGUAACAUUGAAAAAAGAUUGAUGGUUAUUCCAUUCUUGCUCCCAUGAAACACACAAAGCAAAGAAUUGUAUGUCACUUUAAUUAUGAUCAUGCAAAGUUUACUACAAAUGUCCUGCCUAACAUGCUCAAUACACUACUCUUCCAAGAAACCACUAACCAUGUGGGGUGAAGAAUCAGCAGCUCAACAAAGUUCUGUCUCUUCUACAGUCACAAGUGUACGUACAUUAAAAGGUAAUAUAAAUAUAUAAGUUGACUAAAAUAAUUAGUAAUUUAGCAAAUAAACAUGUAUAAUAAAUUACAAAAUUAAUGAAAUAUAUUUUUUAAUUCUCUUAACAAAUCAAUGAUAUUAAAAAAGUCAAAUUCUGUCAAAUCAAAUUUCUUAAUUGAAAUGUUAAGUUAUAAUAUUUAUAUUUAUAUUCACACUCAAACAACUUUGGUCAACAAUGAAGAUUACUACUAGCUUGUAAAGUCAUACACGAAUACUAUUAUGGGAGAGUUAGUGACACAACCAUCCCAGUUACAAACAUAAUUUUAAUUAUUAAAUCACUCAAUUAAAAGGCCAUGAAAAAUUAAAAUUCAACUUAUAAAUAACCAAAGGACACGACACGGACACUGAUAUGUCGACACAUUUAAUAAUUUAAAAAUGUUACAUAAUUCAGUGUAAUUACAAGUGUCGGAUAAGACAUAUGUCUGACACUGAGACACACCUAAUCUGAAGAGUGUCUGUCCUUCCUCCAAUACAAAUUGAAGAAGAAUUAACCAUGGUAGAAUUUAGAUAGCAGGAACAAAAAUCUGCCAAACCUUAAUGUCACAGUCCAAACUACCACUAUAAACUAGAAAAGAUGGUUCUUCUGAUUCAGAGUUAUCAUCACAAUGUUCAACUACUGCAGUUAAACACUUAACUGAACCUUGAUGCCCUUCCAAAAUAGAUAAACAACAAUAAUCUCUACCAACACCUCUCCAAAUUCUUAUGGUUUUAUCAGCUGAACCACUACACACAAAAUCCCACACAACAGCUAAACACAAUAUUGAAUUUUUAUGUCCUCUUAAUGCACCAACCAGAACCAUUUUUCCAUUUUCGUCGUCGUUGUCGCCAUCUUCUUUCUCCCAUACCAAUAUUGAUCUAUCACAAGCACCAGAAUACAGAAUAGAUUCAUCACUGCUCAAAACCAAAGCAUUGAUUCCAGAAUUAUGUUUCUCCAAGGUAUCAACAAGAGAAUGUUUGUGUUUCUUUUUGUUAUGAUCAUCACCUUGAAGAUUUUUCCACACUUUGAUUCUUUUAUCAGCUGAUCCACUGUAGAAAGUUCCAUCAUAAGAAACAACAACCGCGUUUAUAGCAUCAUCGUGUGCGUUGGUUAUUGAUUCCAAACAAGUGAAAUCUUUAGUUCUCCAGAUUUUGAUUGUUCUGUCCCAUGAAACAGAGUACAAAAACUUUCCAUCUUUAGACAGAGCAAGUGAAGAAACAGUGUCCACAUGAUGAACCCACGUGCAUUUUUUGUGUCUACGAAUUUGGACAUGGUUUUUUGGGAUUAAGAUUUUGGAUGCACGGUCACCAAGUGUUGGAAGUGUUGCUACAUGAGUGUAUUUUGUUUGGUCGUUGGUUAGUUUCCAGACACGGAUUUUACGGUCUUGAUGAGCACUGAAAAGGGUGUUUUUGUUUGAUUGAAUUACUAAGGAUUUAACAGCACCUUUUCCUGCUAUUACUUUAUUGUUGGUUGUUGUGUCUUCUUCAUAGGUGGUUCUGUUCCAUGUUGUGAUUUCUCUGUCGGAUGAACCGGUGAGGAGGAAUUUGCCGAAGAGAGUGAGAGAGGAUGUGUAGGAAGAGUUGUUAUUGUGGGAUUUGAGGGUUGUGAUGAGGUGGGAAGUGUGGUUGAUGUGGGGAUUGUGACGAGGGUUGAGGGAAGGAACUGAGAGGAGGCUGCGUUGUGAAGUGAGGGAGGUUGAGCCUAAUUGUUGAGGUUGAAGGUAGUGGUUGGAGUGAGAUGAGGAAGAGCCACUGUCAUAGUGAUAUUCCAUGAUUCACAUUUGUAAGGUAAUGAAUUGAAAAUGGUGUGGAAGAAAGCGAAAUGGAUUAAUAUUAUAUAUAUCAAUGGAAGGUGGAUAUGUUAUUAUAUAGUGCAUUCAUAUUCAAACAUGAAAUUAUCCUAUUCAUUGAUAAUGAAAGACAAAUAGUUUGAAAAUACUCUUUUAUCCAUUAUGAAGCAUAGACACUUAUAAUUAUACACUCAAGUAAAUUUUUUAAAUUAUUACCAAUAUUAGUGUGUCUCUGUCAAUGUCGUGUUUGAUAUAUGUAUCCGUACUUUAUAGACUAUGAAUCAUCUUUCUUUACUUAUCUUUUAAUCGGAACUCUAAAUUAACUUGACCUCUUUUCAAUAAAAAUUAGAGUCCAUUUCUAAAAAGGAUCGUAGUAUUAAGACAUAAACUUUUUGACACUCUUUCUAAUAAGUUGAUAUUCAAAAUGUUCUAGAUCGGUUAGAAAGCCAAUCCAACACUGACACAUGGACAAAGAGUCCUUCGGAUUAAGACACGCCACCAUAGUUAGCAUAAUAACUUUGGUACACACCACCUCACUGAAGCAUGACCCCGUGCACCCUACAUCGUACACGUGGCCUCUAACGACCGCUGAUAAGGUGCCAUAUUUCACGGGAUCUGUUAGCGCCUCAUUCCUCUAUAUAAGGGAGACUUAGCGUCACCCUCAAGGUACGAUUCAUUUCCCACACAUUUUUGUACAUUCAAUCUCAUUUCCUACUGACUUGAGCGUUGGAGUGCUAACGUGUCUGCAAACACCCUCCGUUCCACCGCGAACACUUCAUCGCCACCGCAUCGUUACAGUUGCUUCCACCCGUCUCUACCAGACAUAUCACAAUCGGAUCUCACUAAAUCACAUAAGUCCACAUAAACUUAACGAGACUCAUUUAAAAUCCAAAACCAAUUAGAAGUACCGUGUUGAGAAGAAUGUAGUAGAACAUGUGAUGUUAGCAUAAUUAUAUCGGUAUGUUCUUUUGUAAAAAUCGCUCAAACAAGAUUAAAUUGUUGAUUGGUGUUCCAAUAUAGGACCAAAUUGAAUCCAACAGCAAUAUAAAUUGAACAAUGUUGAUUGCUACGAAGAAAAUGUAAAGCAAAGGUAAAAAAUGUGCUUCCUUAAGUUUUUUUUGAAGGAAAAUGUGCUGCCUUUAAGUUAAUAAUUAUCUUUUAGUAUUGUUAACGAAUGUUUCAUAAAAAAAUUAUCAUUUAAAAAUGUCUAACACUCGUUAACAUUUCUUUUAUCUUUUUAUCACCUAGUCAUUUACCACAACUUUAUAUACCUAUGCAUGGUCAGUUUUAAAAACAAUUUGGUCAAAUUUCGUGUUGAGUAUGUUGGUGACGUAUGGCAGAGCUCUUUUAAAUUUUAACUCUUAUUUUUUGGGUACAAAUUUUUAACUAUGAGAUAUUGUGUUAAUCUCGUAUUUGUUGAUUUUUAGUUUAUUUUAAUAACACUUACUUAUUAGGUUAGAGCAUUGGCAUUGCUAGUGAAUUUUUACGAAUGCCGACGUGUUUCUUUUCAAUGAAAUUAAGGGAAAGCUUAAACUUCCACUUUUCAUGGAAAACUUUUGAGGUUUGACCGACCAAUGAAAACCAUUCUCAAGAUAUUUGCUAUGCAUUUGCUCGGGACAUUAAAGAUUACUCAUUAGUUUAAUGAAUACUCACUCUCUUUCUUUUUAAGUGUCUUUUUUUAAGAAUUUUUUUUUUUCUAUUUAAUUGUCAUUUUCAAAGUUCAAUACAACCUUAAAUGUUGUUUUACCAAUAUUAUCUUUAGUUAUUUAUUGCGGAGAGAUAAAUAUAUGAAAUGAGAUGUUAAAUGAACAAGGUCAUUAUAAUAAAAGUAUAACUUAUUGCAUCAAAAGUAGUAACAAUUGUUGAUUGUCUUGAUUUGUGUAAAAUGUCAAAAAAUGACAAUUAAAAAGGAACGGAGUUAGUAUUAUUCUUUACUACAUUUCAUAUGUUCAAAUUAAUAUAAUUGAGGUUUGUUAUUCAUAACAUUAAUUUUUGGUACAUUGUACAUUGUAUAUAUUUGUGUUAUUUAACAUAAUAUAAUAUAUUCUUUUAAAAAUAUAAUAUAUAAUUAUAUGUUAAUAAAAGCUGAAUGAACCAAUUCAAACAAAAUCACAUUUUGUAACCAAAAAAUAAAUAAAUCAAAAUCACAUUUAAUCAUGUUAGAUUUUUUUUUGAGAAAACAAUGCAUAUGCAUUUUAGUUACUUUUUUUAAAGGUAUUAUAUAUAACUCCAUAGCAUAUGAAGGAAAAGAAAUUUAUUAUUCAGGCCAUGCAUAAAACCAACUCAUACUUUAGAAAUCAGGCUGACAUAAAAAAUCUUAUAAACAAGUGUAUAUAUUAAUACACAUUUAAUCUUGUUAAAAAAUGUAACCAAAAAUAAAAUCUUGUUAAAAAAAAGUGCGUAUAUAUUAAUACUUUAAAGUUUAAAACUGGUAACCAAGUUGUUUGGGCUCCAGUGGCAAAGAGCUCCUUCCAAGGACGUACCCGGAGAAUAUCGGGUUCGAUUCCCAGGGGGAACAACACUUGGCCAGUGCGCAUGCCUCUACGCAUGAGCUGGAUUAGUCGCCCACUUUUGGUGGGUCGGAAACCGAUGCGAAAGAAAAAAAAAGUUUAAAACUGGUGAGUUUUAUUUAAGCAAAGCCUUGCUAAAGACUAAAGUGCCUUAAUCCCAUUAUUGAUAGAAGUAACUGUGAUAUCCUAUCCUAUAGGAAAUAAUACAAGGUAAAGGCGAGCAAUUCUUAGGAUCAGGCGAAAGGAAGAAGUAUAAUCUCUAUGAGCUUAGCUCCCACUUGUUAGAGACAAUACAUAAUAUAUGUAGGGGGUUGGGUUCGAUAUCCGAACACCCCACUUAUUCUUUUUAAAAAGGUGAAUUUCUAACCAUCAAAUUAUUUAACAAAAACACGAAGAAAAAAAAGAAGAAGCAUAAAUUAGGGUCAUCCGUGCACCUAAAAGUCGAAAAGGAAAAAUAAUAAUUGUAUAGUUAGGCCAUGGAUAGGAACUUAUGGGUCUUUGUUGCCGGUAUUUAUCUGGACUGGCAUGUAAGUUGGCACAAACCCAUGAAAAUUUUGAUAAACUUUUGAGUCUUGUAAGGUUUCUGGGGUUCAUGUGUUCAAAAGGAGUGAGAAAUUAAUUUAUUAUACUAAGAAUUAAGAGAAAGUAAAACAUAUCAGCCUAAAAUUAGGUAUUUCUAAUCAAAUGCAAUUGUACUUUAAAAGCAUUAAACUAAAAGUUAAAAGGAAUAAUUUAAAUGGCCAUCUAGAUUUGGUGGAGGAUAUUUAUCUAAAAAGUUUUAACUUUCUUCUACCAAAAGAAAAAUGUCCUUAGCUUUCCUCAUAAAAUAUAAAAUUACAAGUCUUAGCUUAAUGGUGUAGAUUAUUAGGCAAUGUAUAUUAUUGGGUUGCAAAAAGAGUGGUAGCAACAUAAGGAUUAGGAUCUAGUAGCGGCACCACCAGUAACGGAUGACAAUUCGAGUCAUUUGUUUUCUUAUGUCUUCCAGUAUUGCAUUCCAUACUGUACUCUUGAUAAAGGGGGAGCACUAUUUUUGAACAAAAGGUAUAUACUGUUUUUGUCUAACAUAAACAUAAACAAAUAGAUUACUCUUGCAUCAUGCAUGAGCCUACUUUCUAUAAUUUGAUCAAUAAUCACAUACUAUUUAAUUUAAUUUAACGGGUUAAAUAUAUUUUCAAUCCUUAUAAAUAUACCAACUUUUCGUUUUAGUCUCUCCAAAAUUUUCCUUCAAGAGUACAGUAUGAAAUUUUCAAUAUAAAUUUUUUUUAGUCCAUAUAAAAUUUUCAAUCACUACUUUUGGUCCCUAUUUUUAAGUUAAUUUUUGUAUUUUUAAUGAAAUUGUGUAGAAAUGUGUAAAAUAUUGUAAAAAUCUUUCCCAAAAACAAAAUAGAUUUUUUUAACAAAACAUAAAUUAAAUAUGAAUUUUUAACCUCCAAAAAUAUAAAAAUUCAUAUUAAAUUCAUGUUUUGUUAUAAAAUUCUAUUUUUUUUUUUUGGGAGAGAUUCUUAUAAUAUUAUGAAUUUUUUUGCAAAAAUUUAUUAAAAAAUAUGAAUUUUAAAUAUGAGUUUACUUUAAAGGAGGGACUAAAAGUGAAGAUGGAGAAUUUUUGGGGACUAAAAGUUGAAGAAAGUUUUUAAAGGGACUAAAAUGAAAUGUUGACAUAUUUAUAGGGACCAAAAACAUAUUUAAUUGUGAGAAUUAUUGAUACAAUAGUUGCAUAAGCUUAGUUUCUAUAAUUUGAUCGAUAGUCACAUAAUAUUUUAUUUAAUUUAAUUGUAAGAAUUAUUGAUACAAUAAUGAAUGCAAUAUUAUGCAUGAUACAAAAUUUAUCUUUUUUUUUUUGAAAGACCAUAAUAAUAUUGCAUUUGUGUAUUUUAUUUUACCAUAUUCAUUUUGCUCUUCAAUUUUUUAUAUUUACCUUUUAUUCUUGUGUGUUUUCUCUUUCUUUUUCAGUCCACUAAUAAUCUCUCUCUCAUAUAUAUUUGGCUAAGACAACAUACAUACCGUAUAGUUUAACUAUAAUGCUUGUGCAACGUAGUAUGCCAAUAAAUUACGGUAUUUUUUUUAAAAAUUAUUUACUUGUAUUUAUUAUUUGAACUGCAAAAUGAUUUAUUAGAGAAAAAGUACGAUUGAUACAUGAUCCACCAAGCGAUGAGAAGCAUAAGAGUUACCUAACCUAACAAGUUACACACAUAAUUAUUUAAAAUAGAGAACCAAGAAGAGGAUUUGAAAAACAUUCAUAACAAAUGCACAUACCCUCCUUUUUUGAGGUAGAAGCCAUCUCCACGAGGUGACUUUAAUAUCAUCUAAUAUAUCUUCUACUAUUGGUUUCAAUUUUCAAAGAAAUAUUAUUGUUUCUUGCCUCCUGUAUCUUCCAAAUGGUUGUGUGCUAUAUUAGCAUUAAACCUUUCGGAUGCUUGUUACUUGACGAGGAGGAAGCAAAGGUGUCCAAAAGAGAGGUAAUAGUCCCGGGAAAAUCACACCCCUCCCAUCCAUUUGAAAAUAAGGUAUCACAUCAAGCCGGAAAAUUUAUAAAUACAAAACAAAUGGUCCUCCACCUCCAAAAUCUCUGGACACCACACACAAUCUACGACCCUACCAUCACAAAUACUCACCCUCUUUGCUAUAGAUUCCCUCGAGUUGGUAAGGGUUUGCACCUUAGAUGGUGCUAUACUUCUCCAAUUAGAUCUUUUUUUUUUUUUUUUUUAUGAAUUCUCCAAUUAGCUCUUAAUGCUCUUCAUGUUGCCGUAGACAAAUUCUUAUCCGGUAAGAAUUUCUUAUUAAGGACCACAAAGAUUGAAUCGAUAAAAUAUCGAAAUGAUCAAGAACUCAAAUUGCUAAUGAUAAUCGAGAACCCACAUAUAAAGAGUAUUUUUACUCUUGAUAAAGAUAUUUUUUUUUUUAUCAAGGACAAAAAAAUGUUUAUUCACAUAUAUUCAAUUAUAAUCUACCACGUAAAUAAUUGUGAAAAUAUGUUUUUUUUUUGAAGGAAUGAAAAUAUUUUUUUUGAAAGAUGAAGGAAUGAAAAUAUGUUAUCAAUUAAAUCGCUAAUGUGGUAUUUUUGUGAACCAUGGGGAAAAAAAUUUCAUCCCUGACGUUGACGGCACCUUGUCGUCAAGCUGAAUUGUUCAAAUGCACCGUCUAUCGUCUUCUUAGGAAAGGGAUACCCUAACGUACUAUCAUCAGGUGUCCUAAUAAUAGGGAGCUAUCACUAGUUUUCCCAGUUUUUGCAUAACAUUAAAAUGUCAUUUCUUUAGAUAUAUUCUCACAUGGAAGACCAGUUUAUUCAUAACUCACUCGAUACUCAACUCUACAAAGAGUCUACAUUUAAUCACCAUAUACGCCCUUUAAGUUAUGGUUGAAACUUGAAAAGACAAAAAAUGAAUAAAUUAAGCUUAUAUGAGUUACCUCGUUGCUUAUAAAUUAAUAUGACUAAAGUAGAAUUAUUUGAUAACAAUUUUUUUUUACGAGCUUAUAAUAAUUUUCACUAACUUUACUAAAAAAAAAAAUCACUAGCUUGUAGUAUUUUUUUUUAUAAGCUAUUUCAAAUAGUUAUAUAGUUUGACCAACUCCAUUGAUCAAGGUGAGACCUCAAUAUCCUCUUGAGUCUUGACAGAAGUACAGACCUUCAACUUAUCAUAAACCUUGUGUUUUUUUUUAAUGCCUUUGUAAUUUGUAUUUUAAGCCUUUAAAUAUGUUAGGCCAACCCGUUAAUUUAUCAUUGAUUAAUUUAUCCGCUAUAUAAUAACUAUAAGUUCUUCCUUCAAAAAAAAUAUCUAUAAGUUCUUGUCAAAAAAAAAAACUAUAAGUUCAUCUAUUUAUCAACUAGUUUGCCAACUAUCCACAUAUUUCUUAAGCAAACACAACCUCCUUGGUCUACAUUUUCUUCCAAGGUCGAUUUAUUGACAUGUCCCUUCAAACUAGUAAAUUUGUAACCUUUCUGAGAUCAGUAAUUUCCUUUCUUAAUUAUAUAGUGUAUAUUUAAAUAUAGUCAAUGUAGGAUCUACCAACAUGUAAGAGCCAACCAUCUAGCUUGAGACAAACGACAAUGGAUGGAAUACAUUGGACAAUAAAAUAAAUGAAAUUAUGCUUUAGUUGAACCUAAAUUAUUGAAAUCACAUUAUUGCAACCUAUGACACCAUCCACUAGAGAAUUGUAGCAAGAUGGGUUGGACAACUCAACUAGUUUGAGCUAGAGAUAAAGAGGUGAAGAUCUUGAAUUUAAACCUGAAUAAAGGAGAAAAAAUAAUUACUAACAUUUCUCAUUAAAACAAACAAGACCGGUCUAAUUAUUUGAUGCUUAAAGUGUUUUAAGAUGAAACUUUUUUUUAAAGGGAAUAACAAUAUUUAAUAAUCUGUUCAAAAAACUAGUUAGACUAUUAUUUUUUGGGAACUUCUAUGGUACACUCACAAUUUUGAGUGUACCGGUACUCUUGUUUUACAAAAUUUAUAAAUUAACAAUCACUUUAAUGAAAUAAAAAGGUAUUUGUCAAUAUUUAUAUUUUAGAAAACAUCAUUUCAUAAGAAAAACCAUUAUUUCAUUGUUUAUAAGGAUCAUAUUAAAAAAUUGACAUUUUGUCAUAAAAAAUAAUCAAUAUUCAUUGUUAUGAGUAAUAAAAAUUCUUAAAAAUUAAAUUUUAUUUUGUCGAAGCUUUUGGUAAAUAAAAUUUAAUUAUCGUAGUUGUCAAAUGAUAGAAAAUAAUUAUUUUUUUUUCAAAAAAACAAUUCAUUUAUUACUAAUAUUACGACUUGGUGUACCGAUACACCCAAAUUUAGUGGGUGUACCAUAGAAUUUGCCUAUUUUUUGUUUUAACUUCAUGUAUUUCAGACUUUUUAUGAUGUAGAAUAUCAUUUAUUUCCUUUUUUUUGGUACAAAAGAGGGCUAAAGGCCCAAAAAAAAACUAAGAAGUUAGCCGAACAUUCUUAGGCAUAGAAGCGUCAGAGAUGUCAUAAAAAAGAAGUCUACGGAGUUCACUGGACGGAUUCUCCGUUAUGAUACAAUUAAAAGAGUCUAGAGAAAGGUUAAAGUUAGCCAACCAAUCAGCACAUCGAUUACCCUCCCUCCAAGUAUGGCGAAAUUGGACUCGCCAAUCCAAAGCCAAGAGUUUUCGAUUGCGUUGCACCAAUAUGGAACCUGAGCCACUAAACUUGCAGUUUUCCGUAACCAUGUCAUUCAAGAUUUUAGAAUCACUUUCAACAAUGAGUUGCGGAAUGUGCUUUCGUCAAGCCAUCUCCAAACCAAGAUACAUGCCCCCACAUUAUCACAAACUCCAAUCUUUUAAAUGUAGCCUUUUAGCCAUCUCCCUUCAGAGUCGCGAAAGAGGUCACCACAACUUGAAUAUUCUCCAUUUCCUUUGCAAGCACCGUCACUAUUGAGUUUAAUCCAACCUUCACGGAGUUUCUUCCAACCUAUGUAGAUUGUCUCUUUCAUUUAAAAAUUGUGAUGAAUCCGAUGAUUUGAAAACAAGUCUAUCCAAAACAUUUAUUACUUUAUUGUGAUCAAUAUUGUCUAACAUUUAUUUCAAUUUCAAACAAUAAUAAAUCAAUUCAUUUAGUUUUUUUGGGACAAUGUUUAUCUUAAAUAAAAUUUAUAAUGUAGUUUUUUUUCUUGGGUUGGUUUUUUUUUUGUUCCCAGGGAUUUUUGUUAUUAUUCUUUUAUUUUAUCAGAUUUUAGCUUUUAGGAAAAAUGUUGUGACAAUAGAAUAGAGAAAAUCAUGGACUCAUGACCUCACCACAUGAUACUUUUCCAUCAAAUAGUUUUUUAGUUUACUUUUUUUAAGGCUUUACUUUUGGGUCGUCCCUAAAUGCUAGUCACACCUAUAGAUUCAAAAAUUAAUUCCGAAUGGUUUUUCACCAAUAGAAAUUUAAUUGAUAGAGUCACAUUUUGCUAGAUCCUAUCCUAUCCUAUCCUAUGGUAAUUAAUUUUGAAUGUGAUGAUUGCUGCCGCUAAUUUUUCUCCCUAACCAUGUUUCGGAGAAAACCAAUUUUAGCCCUUGCGUUUGAGAAUAGAAAACCUUACUUUUUCUGUAAGGAGAAUAUUAACCAGCACCAAAAGAAGUAAGUUUUUAUUAAAAAGUAAUGUAAUUAUUACUUAAUAAAAAGUGAAGUUUAUAUUUCUAAGACAAAAUUCUAUUUAUAGAUUUUUUAACCAAUGCCCCCAGGGCAUUGGUUAACAAGACCCUUUUUAUAAUAAGAGUCUAGACCAGAGGGGUACAAGGAGACCCAAACAAAAGUAAUCCCUCCGUUCCAUAUUAAGUAUGACACAGUUGACUCUGUCGCACAUACCAAUAUAUAUUUUUUAUCUUUAAUAUAUUUUAUUAGAAAAAAUUAUAAAAAUUUAAUAUUUUAAAAUACUCAUCAAAAUAAAUCCAACAACAUCUUAUAUGAUAUUAUUUAUCUUUGUAUAUUAGUUAAAAAAAUAUGGUCAAAAUUUAUUAGGUCAAUAAUGCACGAACCGAAGGAGUAUUGUCUAUGCAUGAUAGAGAUUCUAAGUAUCUUUUAGUGGUACUCUUUGGGGACCGCGGGUUUCCAUUAAAGGAAUGAAAAAUACUAUUAGUGAAGUUGUCCAUAUAAUCAAAUGUGGAUGGUAGAUUUUCACAUCUAAUAAAGUUAUUUUGCUACUUUUUUCAUACCAAUCAAACACAUUAUACAACAGUAGGGUAUUGCUGUUCGAUUAAAAACACACCUAGAAAAGUAGGUUGCAUUUUAUUCCACUUGCAUGAACCCAUAUUUCCAUUGUCUGUUGGUCCCGUAAUGAAAAAGAUGGAUAGAUAGAUCAUAGAGUCAGCACAAACCUGUAAUAAUUUUGAGAAUGUAAUUUAUGUGACUUAUGGAAUUUAUAACUAUAUGAACGUUUAUUGAAAGAAAUUCUAUAAUUUACCAAGUUCUCUUUAUUUGUGGAUUGGUCUUGAUGGACAAAUAUAGAAACCCUCAGUCUUUUCACCAUGUGCUCUUGUGAAUGAUACCUCAUGACCAUUUUCUUCCUUUAGGAAAUAUUUUUGUCACGAGAAUAGAUUUAGCAUGUGUAGUGAUUGAUAACUAGCGGUUGAGAUUCCACAUUGCAGUUUUUUCACCAUGAUUGAAUUCACAUGGUACAUACGUGUAAACUUGUGAGUGAGUAAACCCAUAUAGGACAUAUGCGACUACUAUUUUUUCUUGUAUGGCAUGAAAAGUGUGUAUGGUACAUGUACAUGUGUUAAUUUCUGAGUGAGUAUAAGCUCAUAGAGGACAUAUGCUACUUCUGUUUUUUUGUGUAUGACAUGAAAAGAGAGCAAGAAUGACAAGUGAUUCGCCUACUGGCCACUUAAAACUCUUGCACAGUGAAUGCUGUUUUUUUUUGUGUUGGAUCAGUGAGUGAUUGAGAAAUGGUUUGCUUUGCUAGGUUAGUAAGAGAACGAGUUGAGAUAUAUUGGCAUGCAAAUGCGAAAAUUGUUAACUAAAAGCUAGGCUUAAUCAUUAUCAUCAGUAAGAGGAAUGACUAACUUUGGACAGGAUAUAAAGGCAACGAUAGAUUAAGCAUUAUCCUCAACAUAACGAAUAUAUCCCACAACCCGACCACUGACGAACCAAAGUUUGAAUCCGACUCGAUAAAAGUGUUCAGAUUUAUUUUUCGAUUGUCAUAUGGUCAAUGUAUUGUGGUCUGAUGUUCUAUCUUAGUUAGGAAUCAGUUGUAGGAUGAUGAAUUAUACAUAGUUAUUGUCAUGAUGAACAAUUUACAAGUUUUGUUUAUCAUGGAAAGAAAAUAAAGGAACGACUUCGUUUGAAUUGGUUGGUAUGCAUCUGGUCAAUUUAAAAGCAUUGUAACCAUGUGAUUUUUGGUAAUAAAGUUUGGUUAUUGGGUUCACCUUUUGAUAUGGUUAAACUUUUGUUGUUGUCUUGGAUCAAAUUUAAAGAUAAGGGGUUUUCUUAUGAUUAUUAUAUAUCAAUGAAGCACUCAACAACAGAAAUGUUAGGGGUGACUUUUUUUUUCAAUUAAUUUCAUUUUAUUUUUGGUAUGCUCGCACCAUUCUUUUGGUGUAUUUUAGUAAUUGUUGACUGCUGCUAUUUUAUUUAUUUAUUUUAGCACUCCUUGUGCUUUGAUUAAGUUGUGUUAAUAAAUCAAUUUUUUUGGCCUUAAAAAAAAGUGUUCACAUUUAAUGCUGGUAUCUCAAACAAGACUGCAUUUGAUAAAAACUUAGGUUAAAAAGUACUGUUUUCUUGUUGUCAAAGGGUGUGUUUGGUAAAAAAAAAGCUAUAAGCUAGCUGAUAGCUGAAAAGUUAGCUUAUAGCUGAUGGCUGAUGGCUGAUAGCUGAUAGCUGAAAAGUUAGCUGAUUAAAAUUAAAAGUGUUUGGUAAAAUUAGUUGUUGAAGUGACUAUAAAUAUAAAAUGACAUAAAAGGACAUGCUUGUUUAAUUUUUUUUUUUUUUAAUAUCAUAUAUAUAAUUUUUAUUACUUAACGCAUUUAUUUUUAAAUAUUUAAAUAUAUUUCAAAUUAUUUUCAUCUCCAAAAUAAUAAAUGUAUUUAUGAAUUCAAUCGAAUUUUUUUAUUUAACAAUUUUUAUUUUAUUUUUAUGAUUUUUAUUUAAUUGCUUCACUAUUUAUUAUAAAUUUUAUAUAAAAUUAUAUAUUAUAUGAAUUAUGAGCAAAGUAAAAAAAAAACAAAAAAGUGGACAAGAAAAUUUAAAAAGCCAUACAUGGUAAACGUGGUUAGUUUAAGAAGAUAGUGGGUAGUUUUUUUUUAUUAUAAUAAAAUAAAAUAUAAUUAAGAAAAGGUUAAAAUGAGAAGAAAGUAUAAAAAGCUACAAGCUAUAAGCUAAAAAGCUAUGUGGAUUAGCUUCUUAAAAACGCUAUAAAAGGGUAAAAAGUACUGUUUAGUUGAUUCUCGUCUAAGAAUGUCAAUUUAUACUCGUAAGUAGUGCAUGUUUGGGGCUCCAAAGGUUAGGAAUUUUCUUUGGGAUCGGAACGGAAGUUUCAGGACGAGGAUGAGAUCUUACCCUCCGCCGCGCAGGGAUCUCGUGUCCCCAAACAUUUUAUUAAAAUAUCUUGGCUUAAAUAUGCAAACCAUCCCUGUAAUUUGGGCACAUUUUGAUUUUCGUCCCUGUGAAAAAAAAAAUUUAAAAACAUCCCUGUAAAAAAAAUUUAUUUUAAAAAGGUCCCUGGCCCCACUUUUUUGCUGACAUGGGAUGGCUUUGGCCACGUGGCAGUUGCUGACUGUGCAACUUUUGCCACGUGGUAGUCCACGUCAUUAUUUUUUAUAGAAAAAAUCUGAAAAUAUUUUUUUAAAAUUAAAAAAAUUCCAAUUUUUUUUUUUUGAAAUAUGAAGAAUUUUUUUUGGAAAUUAGUGUUUUUAAAAUCUAGAAAUAAAUUUUUGAAACUUAUAUAAUCUCAAAAUUUAUAACUUUUGAAAAUAUAAUUUUCAGUUUUUUUUUAUUUUUAAACUUAAAAAAAUUCAGAAUUUUUAAUUUUUUUUAAUUAAAUAUCGAAAAAUUUAAUUUUCAGAUUUUUUUUAUGAUUUUUGAAAGAAAAAAAUUAAUUAAAAAUCGAAAAAUUUAAUUUUCAGUUUUUUAAUUUUUUUUUUUAUGAUUUUUAUAUUUAUUUUUGGAUUUUUUAUUUUAAAAAAUGAAUUUUUAGAAUUUUGAAAAAAAAUAAAAAAAAAAUUAAUUAUGUGCCAUGCCACGUCAGCGCCACGUGGCAAAAGUUGCACAGUCAGCAACUGCCACGUGGCCAAAACCAUGCCACUUCACCUGAAUAGUGGGACCAGGGACCUUUUUAAAACAAAAUUUUUUUUACAGGGAUGUUUCUAAAUUUUUUUUUUUUACAGGGACGAAAAUCAAAAUGCGCCCAAAUUACAGGGACAGUUUGCAUAUUUAAGCCAAAUAUCUUCUGUUUUGUACUUUCACACAUAUGUUUAUUAAAUUUUGUUGAUAUGUGAAGUUUAUUGUUGUCACAAGAUUCCCAAUAAUAUCUUAUUUUUUAUUUGUUUUAUAAUUAUACUUUAAUUUUCUUUUGUCAAUUUUUGCUAGAAAAUAAUAAAAACUUGAUACUUCUUUAAUGUUGAUGUGAUCCUCUCGGAGACUAGGGAUCCAUGGUGACGGGGAUGAGGAGUGAAUACUCUAAGACAGAGAAUGAGAGUAAUUUUUUAUCUGAUUAUGAUGUGUCCUAUUGACAUCUCUAUUCUCGCAUACUAGACCAUUUGAUAAAAAAAAAUAUAUAACCUAAGAGUAAAAAACAAGUACCGAACGUAUAGCAUAAAAGACAGUUAUUUAAAUAAUUAAUUUAUUGAAUUUGUUUUAGAAAGAAAAGAAAAAAAAAGAGAGCAUGGAGUUGGUCUAUGAGAAUAACAGGGGUGGUAAUAGAAACUUCUCCAUGUAAACUUUAUUCAUAUCUAGUCGGAUUUUGAAGGGACCAGAUAUCCAUCAUUGUAAGUUUACGCAUGCGAGUUGCUCUUUAGCAUCCUCUAAAUGCUAAAAAGUACAACUACUAUCAUUGACGUAUUGCAGUUAAGUGUUGUUCGUCGUUUGAUUACAAAAAAGUAUUAUUCGUCAUAAAAUGGUAGUUAAGUGUCGUUUGUCACUUUUUCAAUCGAUCAAUCAAAUCACUUUUUAAAUCGACUUAAUCAAUUUAAAAAGUCAUUAGAACGGUAAUUAACUGCUUUGAUUAAAAAAAGUAUUAUUCGUCACAAAAUGGUAGUUAAAUGUUGUUUGUCAUUUUUAGAUCGAUCAAUCAAAUCACUUUUUAAAUCAACUUAAUCCAUUUAAAAAGUCAUAAGAACAGUAAUUAAUUGCUAUUAGUCGAAUGCUGCGUUCUUUAAAGAAAGUAACCGGGUUGGUAUAAUGAUAUGCAUAAGAAAUGAUUACGGAAGGUUAGUGAAAGCCAUAACUAGUUGGUCAAUGCCGCUCUUAGAUUUUUCCGAGGGAGAGGCUCUUGGUCUUUUAUAUGCUAUCAGAUGGGUAAAGGAGCAGACUUUUAAUAAUGUCAUUUUCGAGCUCGAUUCCAAGAGGAUAGUAGAUAGUUUCCAUAGCACUAGAAAUGAUGUAUCUGAUUUAGGAGCUAUUAUCAGAGAAUGUAGGAAUACUUUCUCAUCAUUUUUCACAAACUCAAGGUAGAGUUUAUUAGGAAACAAGCUAACGAGGUUGCUCAUAGACUUGCUAGGGCGGCCGGAUUUUAUGCUAGUAUUCACCGGUUCAUUGUAUUACCUGAUUAUAUUUAAGAUGUUUUUAUUAAUUAAAUGGGAUAGUUAUUUUCUGUAAAAAAAAAAAAAAUUACUAUUAGGAUAAUUCUGUCAGUUCAAGAUACCUGAGUACAAGUCAUGGAUGUCUAAAGAGCAAUUUUUUUCAUUAAUUGGUCCAAGAAAAAUGAGCCAAAGUACACAAAAUAUAGAAAUUGCUCUACAACUCUCCCAAGUUGCUCAACCAAUACAAAAAUAUUUUUCCAAUAUUUUUUUUGCCUAUAAUUAUUAUUUUUUUGAAUAAUUUGCCUAUAAAAUUAUAUAGUAUAAAUUAUUAAUAUUAUUGAUAAAGUAAUAUAAUAUUAAAAAAAUAUACUAAAAUUUAAAAAUAAAAAAAAAACGAACAACGCAAGAGACAAACGAACUCUGGCGGCAAAAGGUAAGCUUCCACUAUCAAGCUUCAACCGAAUCAGCCGGCCUCACCUUAAAAAUUAGAAAAUUUCGUCUUCUUCUGAUGAAAGCGAAAUGAAUCCCUUCCACUUCUUCUUCAAUGGCAUUAUUCCCAAUUUCAUAUUCCAUAAUCUACCAUGGCGCCACCAUCUCUCGCCAUUUCUCUCAUCUUCUCACUCCUCAUCACUUCCUUCUUCAAACCAUCACUCUCUUCCACUCUCGGCGUCGACGCCAUCUCCCGCACUCUUCAAAUCCAGCACCGAGAACGAUCACCGCCGUCCGUUCAAGAAGCCGCCGCUCGCUCUGUCCUCCUCCGCUUGCUCCCUUCCCAUUCCGAUUCUUUCCACUUCCGCAUCAUCUCCAAGGCAUUUCAAUUUUCUCUUUCUAUUUCUCUGACCUACUUCUUGUAGUUUUCAAUUUUUUCACUCAUUUUUGUUACUAAUUUACAGAAGCAAUGUGGAGGUGAAUAUUGUUUCACUAUUAAUAAUCAUCCUUCUUUCACAACACAAGGGAGUCCUCAAAUUCUGUACGUUACUUUUGAAUUUCUUGAAAAACUGUGAUUGUGUUUAUUUUAGCAAUAAAUUGAUUUAUAAUCUCGAGUUAAAUAUUUACUAAAAAGAAAGUAGUUGAUAAUGUAAAAGUUUUGUGAGGCUUUUUCAGCUUAUAACUUAUACGAAAACAAUUUAACUUUAUUUAUCCUUUGCUAUAGUAAUAGGUUGUACAUAAGUGCUUAUCAUAAUAAGCGCUUGUCUAUAAGCUGCAAAUAAGCUAUUUAUCCAAACAUGACUAGUUUACUAAAGUUUUUUUUGAACUGAACGAUUCGUGUAUUAACAUGUGAUCAAUCAAAUUAUCAGAAUGUCAAAAUAAUUUAGUAUGUCUGAGAUAUCUUUUUGAAUUAUUAGUAUUUUUUUUGGAAUAAGUAAAAUUUAUGUUGAAUUUUUCAUUGAUAUAAGAAGAUACAGUUUUUAGACUAUAGAGAGCAACAACCUAUAGGCUAAACAAACUUAUGAAUUUGGAACAGAAUUGAAGGGACAACAGGAGUGGACAUUGUUUCUGGUUUGCACUGGUAUUUGAAGCAUUGGUGUGGUUCACAUAUAUCUUGGGACAAAACCGGUGGCUCCCAACUAUUUUCAGUACCCAAUGUGGGGUUGUUGCCACGUGUUCACGACGCUGGAAUCUCGGUUAGGAGGCCUGUUCCAUGGAGCUAUUACCAGAAUGCUGUCACUUCUAGCUGUAAGCUACUUCUUUUUUGUUUUCAUAUAAUAUUUCUUUGGUGCUGUGUUUGGAAUUGGCAUCUGAAGAUUUCAUUUCAUUUUCAUGUGAUCUUGUUAUUUGGUUUUGGAAGAUUCUUUUGCUUGGUGGGACUGGAAAAGAUGGGAAAAGGAAAUCGACUGGAUGGCUUUGCAGGGUGUCAAUUUGCCACUUGCAUUUACGGGACAGGAGGCUAUCUGGCAGAAAGUGUUCAAGGUCAUUUUCAUACCAGUUUGUCUUUACAUAAUUCUUGGUAUGGGUUUCGCAUUGUGGUAUUUGUCACUCAUGGAAACUUUCUGAUAAUGGUUUUUGAGCCCACAAAUUAUGCAUCAUUAAACUAACUUUGGACAUUAAUGAAGCUGUUACUUUUAUUUCUAAUUUACAGAAAGCAGGAGUCUCAAAUAAAUUUUAUCUCACAUGGCAUUUGAUGCAUGAUUAAAAUAGAGGGAGAGGGGAACAUUUUUUGUUAUAUUUCAAUCUCGUCAGUCCCGUUAUUUUAGAUGUAACUUAAAUCAUAACUUAAAAUGUAGCACUUUACGUGGAAGCUCAAUAAUGAUUUACAUUUCCAGGACUCAAAAAAGUUUUCCAAGAGCCACUUCAUAUAGCCGGUGCUUUCCAUCUAUUUAAGUAACAUUUGAUUAGAUAUUUAGAUUUUAGAGGUAUGCUUUUCAGAUGUCAACCAAUUUUAUGCUACUAGCUUUUAGUGUUUUAAGAUACUGUCAUCACGACAUAACUACCACAAAAUACCAAAGCCGUGCUCUGUGUUUGAUCCAAUUUGCAUAUAGUUUGAUCCAAGUUUUACUACAAUCCAAUCUCCCAAGGAAACAUAUAAUGCUAUCUGGUAGUCUUGCAAGAUAUAGUAAAUGUGUAGGCACGGUUAGAUUGGUACCUUAGUUCUCUGGUACACUUUUUUUGCUGUGUAAUUCUUACCAUUUUCUGUUUCGAUGUUUUGGUUUUAUUGGCCUCUUGACGAUGGUAAGGAAAUAAAAAUGUACAACUUGAUUUAGGCCCUUAAUUGUGUCACUGGCUAGUUUGCUCAAAUCAUCGGACCAGCAGUUCUGUAAUCUCAGAUAUCGUGCAACAGAAUUCUACUCCACAAAAUAGCUCUUAAAUAGCUGACCUUAUAUUCAAUCUACAGGAGAAAUUUAACAUGAGCAUUUCUAAUUUGGAUGAUUUCUUUGGAGGCCCAGCAUUUCUUGCAUGGUCACGUAUGGGAAACUUGCAUGGGUGAGUGGUAAUUCACAGGCCUUCUGUAAGUUCCGUUUGAUAUUCAUAGUGUGUUUUUAGCUCAAGGCAGACGUAAAACUCAUAUAUUAAAGUAAUUUAUGUGGAAACUAGAAUAAUGAAUAUAUAAUUACUUUUCAGUUUCAUUAUGAAAUUGUCAAGCUUGAUGCUUUUAGUAAACACACUCUCUCUCUCUCUGAAUUGGCUAGAGUUUCAUUGUCAUCAUACCUGGAUAUAGCAGACAUAGUUUGAGAGAAUAAGUAAUUAUAUUUUAAAGGAUAUUUCAAUUGCAGAUGGGGUGGGCCACUGCCACAGAGCUGGUUUGAUCAACAAUUAAUCUUACAGAAGAAAAUUCUUGCGAGAAUGUACGAGCUUGGAAUGACUCCUGGUACUCAUUAGUCAUUACUAUCAUUGACUCUUCUACCAGACAGUGAUGAAUUAUUGUUAAAUUUUAUGCAAACUACAAAACAACCAAAGAGAAAAAAUAAAUAUUUUUCAUUUGGUUUCAGUUCACCUUCCACUCCUUUUCUGGAAGUAAUUUGAAUACUGAAUAAUUGCUUUUCAGUCCUGCCAGCUUUUUCUGGAAAUGUCCCUGCUGCCCUGAAAUCUAUAUUUCCAUCAGCAAAAAUAACACGCUUAGGAAAUUGGUAAGUACAGCAUUGUACACAUUGACUUGAACUUGGUGUAAUUAGUCUUACCAAACAACCACACUGGUUUAAAAGGGCGGUUUGUUAAGUGCUUAUUGAAUAAAUGUUUAUCAUUUAAGCCAUAUGCACAAGUUAUUUCCAUAAUAAAAUAUGAAACAUGCUUAAAUCAUUUUCAUGUAAGUUGUAAGCUAUAUAAAAAUUAUAUUCUAGGGAAGAAUUAUGAAAAUCAAUUAUUGAAGCUGGCUUGGAGACGUAAGUUGCAUGCUUAGCACACACUUAUACACUCUUCACCACACUACAAAAAUGUAGAGUCAUCUUACACAUUGAAGCCCUGGCACCUGUACAGUCUUCACCAGUUUAAAGCCAUAGACAUGUUUCCUGUGUCGGUAAUGGCUAAUAACAAAAAAUGUUUAGCUUUAACCCCUAUAACUGAGAUCAAUAAUGAGUGUGCUAAAAUCCUAGCAGUCACUGAUUUUAAUUUUCUAAAUAUUGAAUAUAUCUUGUGCCUGUACUAGUACAUAUAUACCAGUUUAUAACUGAGAUCAAUCAUGGAAGUGCUAAGUCCUACCAGCCACCGAUUUUCCUUUUCUGAAUAUUAUUGAUACCAUGUAUUUUUAUGGAUAAGCCUAAUUGAUGCAUAGGGAAGCACUUGUGUCCUAUUGAACUUCACCAACCUAUGUAGGCAAAACUGAUAGAAAACAGAGAGCCAGUCUGCAAAGAAUAAGCACACAGUCGCAUAAUGUGUGCAACUUAAUAUAGAAAAUAAACUCAGAAAUCUAACAAAAAUGCCAUAGGCCUGAAACCAUCUAGAAAACCAUCAAUAAUGACCUCAUAUCCUGUAAUUGUAUUCACUUUCCUGUUGCAUUUACAUCCAUGAACCUACCGCCUACACAUUUUAUUGACCGUUUUUUCUUAGGUUUUCUGUUAAGAAUGACCUCAAAUGGACCUGCACUUAUCUUCUUGAUGCAACUGAUCCCUUGUUCGUUGAGAUCGGGAGAGCAUUUGCUGAACAACAAUUGCAAGGUGAUAUACAUGCUUCUUUAUAACUUAAUUGGCAAUAAUGCACGACAUGGUAAAAAAUAAAAAUAAAAAAACAUUCUGAAAUAAAUAUCCACAUAUCAGUUAACAUUAUGUGUUAUUUGAUUACGUUUUCACCCAGAGUAUGGAAGAACCAGCCACAUAUACAACUGGUAUGUUCUUCUUUGCUCAUCAGUUAAUUAUAGAACUUUAAAUUUUAUUGCUCCAAUAUUUGUGAAAAUGACUUUCUUUUGGUUCAUGGAAUACUUUUCGAAUAUAUAUAUAUUUUUUUUAUGUAAUAUUGCAUACUUAUGGAGGUCCUUCCUAGCAUACAUUGGUAUUAUUUUGUCUAUGUAGGCUCCUCAGAUAAUAAAUGCAUAUUCGUUGGUAUUCCUUAAUUUAAUUUCAUGUUUGAAUCUCACCCUCAUAUAAUAAUUGUGAUGUGGCUGUCACAUCUUCCGUGUUAAGGAUUUUUCAUGUUCUUUCUGUUCAUCCGUCAGAAACAUACUUUAUAUAAGUAAACUCUUGUUGUUCAUUCUUAACUUUUUUAUGAAGCUAAUUUUAUGUCUCAAUAUUGUUUUUGUUAAACUAUAUAAUGGUGUACGUACUGGGCUCGGUAUAAUGUAACAAGAGGGUUUAAGUCCUGUUUUUACUUUAUUACUUUCAUUUGAUUUCUUAUGGAGUUGGGGUGUUAUUUAUUAUUAGUUACAACAGAUAAGCUAUUCCACUAAAUUAAGUUAUGCUUUUGAAUAGUAAGGAAAUGAUUAUCAUGAAAAAUAGAUAUUUUGUUAUGGAUCUCCAGCUCAUUUGAAUUAUGGUUUAUAUGUAUACACACCAUCACACUUUAUUAUAUUUCGUUUGUUCAUUAAAGAACUUGUCUUUCCAUGCAUUAACAUAUAGUAUGAUGGAUCAAUCACAGCGAUACCUUUGACGAGAACACCCCACCUAUUGAUGAUCCAGAGUACAUUUCUUCACUAGGUGCAGCAAUCUUUAAAGGAAUGCAGAGUGGUGAUAAUGAUGCUGUUUGGUUGAUGCAGGUAACAGAGAUUAGUCAGUUUUUUUUCUUUUUUCUUUCAAUUGAAUCUUGAUUUGAUGCUUCUAUGUUCUAGCUUCUGUAUAUAACUAUGCUAACAUUUUCAUGGAAGUAUAUUUUUGCAUCCUCUAAACUCUAAUAAUUCUUUGUUUAAUUAUGCAGGGCUGGCUAUUUUCAUAUGAUCCGUUCUGGAGACCUCCUCAAAUGAAGGUUUUUAUUUAUAAUUGUUUACCUCCUCCCAACUUCAUUCCUUGUUUUGACAGCAAAUCUUAAUAUAAGCAAAUCUUGUCUGAGAACUGGCUAUCAUUCUCGCUGUUUCGUUUACAAGGAUUUCUAUUUAAUAUUGAUUCUUGUGCCUUUUUCCUUUAAAAUGUGAUAGUUUCUAGGAAUCUCUAUUUUGCAUAGACUGUAACUAGCAAUCUUCAUCAGAACAGUUUUCCUUUUCUUUUUCCCUUCUUUCAGUGCCUGUUUAAGAUAAAGGGCUAGAAUAGUCUGUAUACGCAUUAGAAGAAAUGUAUUUUUUAUUCAAUAUAAAUGCUUUCUAGAAGUAGUUCACUGUUCACCCUGGUUAUUUAUUCUAACCAAAUUAUCAUUCAGAUGCAUAUGAAUUUUGUCUGUGAUUGUUUUCAGGCCCUUCUGCAUUCUGUUCCUGCGGGAAAGCUUGUGGUUCUUGACCUGUUUGCCGAAGUAAAACCCAUAUGGAUAACCUCAGAGCAAUUUUAUGGUGUUCCUUACAUCUGGAAAGUCAUUUUCUAUCAUAUAUUUAUAUUUUAAAAUAGGGUAAAUUACACUCCCUUUCAUAAGAGAAGUUUGGAUUAUACUCUCCUCUUCUCUUAUGUUAAAAUAUACACCUCCAUUCCUUGAGAAAUAAAUAAGUAUUACACUUAGGUUCAUCUUAAUGUAAACAAAUAUUUUGCUGAGAAGAUAAAAUGAAGCUUUAAAUACCCCUUUUAUUGGUUUUUGAUCUUCUGUUGAUAAUAGGUAUUUAAAGCUAUAUGUUAGUGACAUCGAGAAUUAAAAAUAGAGAAAUCAGGGGAAUGGUAUAUUAUCAAGGAUGGAAAUGGUAGAUUUUAACAUGAGAGGGGAGGCAUAGUUCAAGCUUUUUAGAGAGGAGGAAAGUGUGAUUUUCUCAAAAACAAUAAUGGCCAUACCCAUAUAAAUUUGUUUCAUCCAAAACAAGAUAUAUAUCCACUUAAAUGUGAAGAUUUAUAUCAUUCGAUGAGAUAAAUCAGGGGAGUAAAUUGAAUUAAUUCAUUUUUUAUUUAUUUAUGUAUAUGCAUUUUAUCAUUGAUUUUUUUAUGAAAAGUUAUAGCUUCUCACGUUUUUCUCUAUAGCCAAUGUUUGCACAAUUUUGGCUAUCAUUACACUUGCCUCCACUAUACUUAAUAUACAGGGGGCAUCUUCACUCUUACUUAAGCAAACAUGCAUACUUGGUAUAAAUAUGUGAAUACGUUUUCUAGUGCCUCCUAUAGUUUGACAUACACCAAAGUUUAAUUGGAAGUUAUCAGCUCGCACCCACAUUCAGCAGCUUAAACCAGUGAUUUUAGAGAUAUCUGCUAUGUAUAACUUAGAAAUGUUGUCAUAUGGAAAUAUAGUAACUAGCACAUAGAUUUAGAACUUUGAAGUUCGUUAUAUUAUACAUCUAGAUUAUCCAAAUCUUUGUUGUAUGCAUUCUUUUUCCUUUUGUUGUAUUUUUUAAUGUUCUUUUAAUUGACUGGGUGUGUUGUGCUUGACAGGUGUAUGCUGCACAAUUUUGCAGGAAACGUUGAGAUGUAUGGGAUAUUAGAUGCAGUAGCAUCUGGGCCAAUUGAAGCACGUACAAGUGUUAACUCAACAAUGGCAAGUUAUUCUUUUUUGUGGGACUCAAUUCUGUAUCUAAUGUGUCACUGUUGAAUUGCAGUAAUUAAGUAAUGAAAAACAAAAAGAGAUUAUAGGCUCACAAAGAGUAUCAAAUUGAUAUGCUCUAUUAAGAUUAUCAUUGUCAGGUGUGUUCAAAACUGAACCGAACUUACUAAGAUUGUAAGAUAUGAUAAAUGCUAAACACAUAUUUUUAUUAUUUUGAAAGAAAAUGCUUAAAACAUAUUAUUAUUAUUAUGAUUUACGCACGUAAUUUUGGUAAUAAUUUUUCUAUAACUUGUUUUUUUCUUAUGAAUUAUUUUUCUGACAAAUUCUAUAACUUCUUAAAAUCGUAGAAAUCAUAAUUCUUAUACCUGCUUGAUUUUCUGAAGGUUGGAGUUGGAAUGUCGAUGGAAGGUAUCGAACAGAAUCCUGUUGUAUAUGAUCUGAUGUCUGAAAUGUCAUUUCAGCACAAUAAAAUUGAUGCUAAGGUAACAAUGAAAUAAUAUAAGAUAUGUUGUACUAUUUCAAUCAAGGUCUUACUCUUACCAUGUUCUCAUGUUAGGGGGAUCUCCCGUGGGCCGUGACCUAUGGAACCCCUCACAUUGUAGGAGCCCAGUAUUUUUAAUAUAGAGAUGUGCUCAUAUUGUUUGCCACAUUUGGUUGAGGAGAAAUUUUCUACCACAAAUUUAGUUAUUCACCUCUACUUAGUAAUUUUGUACAUCGAAUAUAAUCCUGACACUAUUUUUCCUCUCUUCCCUCGUCUGCAACCCCCUUUCUAUAGAACAACCAGAAUAUUGAACCUCAGUUUGCUGAUAAUUAUGAUCAGAAUAUAUGAAGUUAUAUAGCUGCCUCUAACCUUGAAUAAAAUAAGCAUUACCAGGCGAACAAUGUUACGUAUUCCUUGUGGCAUUUUUAUUUUAUUUGUGGCAAUGUUAUUCUGAUUCGGCAUAGAUGCCUUGUGACCAUGAAGCUGUGAAGCACCGACACACACAAGGACAUCCGUACAUGACACUGACACAUAGACACUAGUAAUAAUUUGAGAAAAUGAAAGUGAUUAAAUGCAACCACUUGUGGCAGUGUCGGACACACUUUCAACUAAAAGUGUUAGAUAGCCUGUACGUCAAGGGUUCAUAUUUUGUAAAAGGUCUCUCCAUUUGCGGUGGUAAGGCUGUGUGUAUCUUCCAUCUCCAGACCCCACUUGUUGGGAGCCUUGUGCAUUGGGAACCCUUUAAUGAUAUUAUGCAUAUCUAUUAAGUCAUUUGGUUUUAACAAUAAAGCUAUUAAAUGUCUGAAGUCGAAAGCACUUCCCUUGUUCCAUGCUUUGCUUUAUUUAGUUUCUAUUUUCACUAACUUGGUAUUGUUUUCAGACUGAAAUGCAUUACGGUUGUUCCUAUUUCAGGCAUGGGUUGAUUUGUAUUCAACCAGACGAUAUGGAAGACAAGUUCCUUUGAUACAAGAGGGAUGGAAUGUUUUGUAUCAUACCAUAUACAAUUGCACUGAUGGAGCCUAUGUAAGUAGUUGGUUGUUACAAAUAACCCGCUGCUAGCAAUUUCUUCCAGUCGAACAACAUAAGACUAUUUGUUUUAAUUAUCUGUUCAACUUUUACCAUUGUUCAUUUACUGUCUCGCCUUCAUUGCUAAACUUCCAUUUUUCCUUUUAUGGUGUGUUGUAUUUAUGUCAAACAAAAUAAAUGAUUUAUGUAUUACUUUUUCUCCUCAAUUUUCUGUUCUCCUUUUAUCUCACAAACGACUUCUGUAAACUAAUAACAUCCUCAGCUGCAUAUAUUAUGUUGAAUUUCAACUUUGCAUGCAUAAAUAAGAAGAUCAUUUUCAGUUUUACCAAAUAUUUUUUGGUGUAUGGGAACAGGACAAAAACAGAGAUGUCAUUGUAGCAUUCCCAGAUGUAGACCCUUCCUUACUUUCAGUUCAGCAUGAACACUCUCGCCCCUAUGGCAAGCCAUUCUCGAGAGCAGUUAGCAAGGAAAUAACUGAUUCAUUUGAUCGACCUCACUUAUGGUAUUCAACAUCUGAAGUAAUUUAUGCAUUGGAGCUAUUUAUAUCUAGUGGAAACGAACUUCCAAAAAGUAGUACAUAUAGGUAAGAGAAGUUGAUUACUUAAGAAUUACCAGUCCUCAUUAAGUACCUCAAUGUUGUCUUAUUGUAUGUUAAGGUUCAAUAUCCAGAUUCUUACUUCUUCAAAAAAAAAAUCCAGAUUCUUACUAUUUUUUUUUUUUUAUAAGAAGAUUCAUGCUAUUUAUUCUUUAUUAGGUAUGAUCUUGUUGAUCUCACCAGACAAGUGUUAGCAAAAUAUGCAAAUCAGCUGUUCUUUAAGGUCAUUGAGGCAUACCAAUCAAGAGAUAUCCAUGAAGUGACCCUACUCAGCCAAAGAUUUCUUGACCUGGUGGAAGAUUUAGACACGUUGUUGGCUUGCCAUGAUGGAUUUCUUCUAGGCCCCUGGUUAGAUAGUGCAAUACAACUAGCUCAAAAUGAAGAACAGAAGAGACAGGUUUGAUUGCCUUCUAUAAGCAUAAAAUUGAAAAUCAAUCCGAUCCUAUACAUACUUAUGUUGAUUUACAGUUCUUAACAUUUUCAGUUUGAGUGGAAUGCUAGAACACAAAUCACCAUGUGGUUUGACAACACAGAGGAAGAAGCCAGUCUGCUUCGUGACUAUGGUAUGAACAGCAAUUAACAGAGAAAAAGAAAAUAAAAGUAGUGCGAUGUUUGGACAUAUUAAAUGAUUGUUUUACUAUUUUCCACAGGGAACAAGUACUGGAGUGGGCUUCUGAGUGAUUAUUAUGGCCCAAGAGCUGCUAUUUAUUUUAAAUAUUUGAGAGAAAGCUUAGAGGCAGGCGAGGAUUUCAAGCUAAAGGAAUGGAGGAAGGAGUGGAUAAAACUUACCAAUGAUUGGCAAAGCCGUAGAAAUAUAUUUCCAGUUGUAAGCAGAGGAGAUGCUUUAAACACUUCAAGGUGGCUCUUCAACAAAUACCUGAACCUGAGCAAUCCUGAGACACCGGGAGCUGUUUCAAUGAACAUUAGUCUUAAGGGGGUGUAUUUGAAUCAUGAUUCUAAGGGAUUUUAAAAGACUUUUUUAUUAUGAAAAAGUCUUGUGGUAUUCAAUCAAGACUCUUUCCAAUUUAAAAAAAGUCUUGUGUUAUUCAAUCAAGAUUCCUUGUCAUUUUAAAAAAGUCUUGUGGUAUUCAAUCAAGACUCUUAAUCACUUAAAAAAAGUCUAGUGGUAUUCAAAAAAAUUCAAAUUUCGAAGGAUUGUUUAAUAAAUCAGAUUUUGAUGGAUUUUGUGGGAUUUUCUAGUGAAAUUUUAGCAUGAAAAAGUUUUCAUGAAAACAUGAGAUUUUUAGGAUUGUUUUUUUCUUUUAAGAUUUUACUAUCUCUUCCUCUCUCUCCUCGCUUCUCUCUCACUCUCUCUUUUCCUCUCCUCUCUCUCUCUUCUUCCUUCUCUCUCUCUCUCUCUCCUCCCUUCACUCUUUNNNNNNNNNNNNNNNNNNNNNNNNNNNNNNNNNNNNNNNNNNNNNNNNNNNNNNNNNNNNNNNNNNNNNNNNNNNNNNNNNNNNNNNNNNNNNNNUUUUUUUCAAUUAUUUCUUAAAAUUCAUAAAAUCUAUUGAAAUCUCUUGAAAUCCAUAAAAUCAUUUCAAAUCCUUUAAAAUCUUAUAAAUUAAAUCCAUUGAAAUCCUUAAUAAUAUUUUAAAAUCAUCAAAUUAAUCAAAAUCCAUCAAAGUCUUUUAAAAUCAUUAAGACUUUUUUAAACAAAAAUUGUCCUUUAAAAUCCUAAUCCAAUACACCCUCCUAAAUGUAUAUGAAACCAAAACCUUGUUAAUGUGGGAAUGGAACUCGUGGUUUUCUGGUGGUGCAAAAUAUGUACAACAGACAUUUGGAGACAGUUUUUUCUGAUUGAUGGGAGAAUAACUGGAUAAGGAUCAUUGUCCAAAAAAUAACACUGAAUAUGGAUCCCAUUGUUUAAUAUUAAUUGACCAUCAGGCAAGGUGUCUUUGAUGAAUGAAUUGGAAUAUUAUUUUUAUAAAAAAAAAUCUAAACAAAACAUUCCGACCAUGAAAAUAGAAGAAGAAAUAAACCAAAGUAGAUCGAAGCUGACAAGCUAGGUUUCUUGUGUGAACAAACCAGUUUGAGGAGGAAUCACACUAAAUCAUACGCGCAAGAACUUUGUACCUUUGAAUUUCUUUUGUAGAAUUAUUCGUUGGAAAAAUGGCGGUCCUAUUGACUUUUUCUUUUCUCGUUAAUAUUUUUUUUUGUCAAUCUUUCUUCAUUAAUCUAAUAAGGGAAAUGUUGACGAGUAGGCCGGGCACUCUUUAACACCUUUAAAUAAUAAUUUUGUAUGAAAAUAUAUGUAAUUAAUACUUUGGAAAUUGAAAUAUUAGCUUUUUUUUAUAAUAUAAUUUUUUUUUUAAAUCCUUAAGAGUAUCUGGACAUCGUUAACGAGAUCCAUUUAAUAAAUAUAAAGUGGAAAAAUGGAGUUUUUUUAGAGGUUUUAAUUCACUCCUAAUUUAUUGUAGCCACGAAUACACCAUUAUCCAAUAAAGAUACUUUAAUAAAGUGUAUUUUUUUUUACUUGACCAAAGAAGGAGUAUUUUUUUUUUCUCCUUCAUUAUACAUAUGUUUUAACGUGUGCGAAAGGGAUAAAAGAGUGAUUGAUUGUGAAAUUGAAGGAGUAUCUCUAUAAUUGACGGUGACGAAACCACCCAGAUUGGUCCUAGAGCUUUCAAAGAAUAAGUGCAUAGCCGCCAAAGCAUAAAAAAUGAGGCCAACAAUUCUAGACUUCGAAAUUUGAAUCAUAACGUAAGCGCAAGCGUGUGUUUUUUAUGGGAAUUAUUUUUCAUGAUCUUAAUCAAAAUACACGUUUUCCAGAAGCUUCCCCAAUGAGAAAACGAGUUAUCUUGUUGUGGAUGUCUCCUUAAAGUGUCAAAGUCCACGUCAUAACAUUAACUUAACACAUGUUAUUAAGAUUUUGGUGGAUUGCUUAAUCUACUUUGCCAACUACUUUUGAACAAGUCCUUCUAGUCCUAUAAAAAUGCAUUGAACUCGUUCUCAAUUCUUCAUCUCCAAAUAUCAACUCAAUUCUUUCUCACAUAUUUUUUCAGCUCUCUCCCCCUUUGAAGAAAUGGAUUCUCAUGGCACAUCCUGGGCUGACCAAUGGGACGAUGGUCCUGACCCUUUGAAUGGUUCCAACCAAUCCAAAAAGAAGAGCAACAAAGACAAAGUCCUAGACAAGACCAAGACAGUUGCAUCUUCUGGCGUCAAGAAGUUGAAGGAGGGUACCUCCGUUAGCCUCCAAUGGAUCAAGACCAAGUAUAACAAAACCACCCAAAAACAUUAAAAGUUACUUUUAGUUUCUAUUCUAUUUAUUGUACAUGUUAAUAUUUAGUCCUUUGUUUUGUUUUUUUAACUGGUUGAUUACUACUAUCACCUACCAGUAUGUCUUUAAUUUGAUCUUUCAAUUCAUUUAUUCUUAAUGUGUGAGGUGAGUUUUGAUGGACAUAGCUCUUUACUCUGUACAGGAGAUAUGGUUGUAUUGUAUCUUCCGUUCGAGUAUUUCUUUUUUUUUUUACUUGAUGGUUUAGGAUUGUUGUACUGUAUACUUAUGUAAUAAAGAUUGAUUUUUCAAUUUUAUAGUUUUAUCUGGUGGCCAUCUAGAAGUUUCAAAAUCAACAAUUAAUUGCAACGUUGGUUCUCAAAAUUAACAAUUUUAACAAGAAUUACAACGUCAUGAUUAAUCACCUUUUGUAAAAAAAAAAAAAAACGCCCGGUUGUAGAAGGUCUAUAUCCAACUGUCCAUAUAGCCGGUUGUAGAAAUCCUCUUUUCUAUAGAAUUUUAUGUCAUACCAAAAAUUAUAUGUCAUAACAAAAAUUUCACUUACUUGAAUAAAAUUUUAUGGGGAUAAUUAUGUGAUGGCUAGACGGCGAAAAUGCACAUAGGAGAGGAGAUGGUUGCAAUACGACGAACAGCGAUGGAUGUUGGUGGUGUAGGCAGACAGGUUGGAGAGGGAGAGUAUGAAGGGAAAUAAGAAGUUUGGGUUUGGAGGGAGAAUGGGGAAGUACAUUUGGUUACUACUUUUCCAUUCUCCUUGCGGGCGGACAGAGAGAAUGAAAAAUGACACUUUGUAACUUUAAAUUUUUAUUAUCCAUGUUUGACUGUGUUUUUUUUUAAAGGGUUGGUUUUCAGUUUUUAAAUACUAUUUUAUAAAUCAAUUUUACAUAGCUAAAUUUAAAAAUAAAUUUUUUAAAAAUGUGUCUGAUAAACUAAUCUUAAAGAUAGUUUUAGAAAUGAGCAAAUAAAAACUUGUUUGAUAAUUUAAUCUUCAAAAUAUGCUAUGAACACUAAAAAAAGCAUACACUUUGACUUCAAAAUUUAAUUAAUAAAUUUAAUUUAAAAAAUGUAUUUAAGCGAAUUUAAAUAUAUGGUGCAUCAAUUUUGUAUCCUAUAUUGGUAUACAAAAUUCAAUUAUUUAAGGAAAAAUAUGGAAGAAAAAAGUUUGUAUCUCUUUUAUGUAUAAGUAAAUAUAGAUUUUUUUUUGUGUGAAAGGGUAUAAGUAAACAUAGAUAGAUACAUUCAGUGUAUUAUUAUUAUUAUUAUUAUUAUUAUUAUUAUUAGAGUAAUGAUAAGUGGAAAUCUUGUAUAUGAGAACAUUACCCACUAUUGGUGGUUGUUGAUUGUUGUUCACGUAAAUGUAGUUCUGACAACUCCACAAUAGUUGGCGGCGUAACACUGAUGAUCCGUAAACAUCAGUAGUUGGACUCUGUCCAUGACGGUUGGCAAUAAGCUUUGAUAGCCCCUCACUAUGGUCGACCGCUUUAUACUGCUAUUGGUGUUAUUUAUUUAUAAAUAAAUAUUUUAAUAAAAAUUUUAAAAAAAUUGUUCAUUUAUUUAAUUUAAUUUUUUUUUUAAAUAUGGUGUCCCUAUAUAUGGGGUUGUCAACCAAAAACUACUAUCCUCUAGAAAAAAACCAAAAACACCCUUAUCAUCACCAUUGACUUUGAAAUUAAAACAGUAAGGAUGCGUUUGAUUUAUUAAAAUAUAGAGGACAGGACAGAACAAUAAAAGUUGUGCGGUGUUUGAUCCAAAAGAUAACAAUGGAACAGAACAAAAACAGUAGCGGAGCACUGGACAAGUCUCCCGAAAUUUGUAACCCGCUUAAUUGGAGGACAAGUUUUUGUCCGCUGGACAGGAGAGCAAAAGACAACGUAACCCCUAUGAUUUUCACUUUCUGUAAGCAGCAGAAUAUUUUAAUUUUUAUUUUAGCUUUGCUUUGACAUUGCUUUUCCAAUUUUGUUUAUCACAUUUUUCAUUUAAAUUUUUUUAAUUGCCACUUUGUUGGUUGCACAACACAACAAAAUAUAAACCCAGGUCCAAUAUAUAAUUAUAAUAUUUUUGUAUAAUACAUUAACAUCGUUAGUUUAUUCGUACAUUUUAUUAAAUAACUAAUUUUUAAUCCAUAAUAUGAUAAUGGAUUUUCGAUAGAUAAAAAAACAAUUUUAAGUUUGAAAAUUUUGAUAUUCUAUAACUAAUAAUAGUUCCAUUGAAACAUUACACUGUGAGGGAUAUCAUAGUAAUUUUAACAUUCUUUAUCUUGUGUUGUACAUCAACUAUCAAACAAAGUAUAAGACAAUAAAUUGUGCUUUAACUCAACUAGCUGUCCAGUCCUGUUUUGUCUGUCCUGUCCUUUAUUGCGAAUCACACGCACCCUAAAGCUAUCCCAUAUAUUGGUAGUGUAAUAUUAUAUGAUACUCAUUCGGCCUUUAUUAAAAGAAGACAUAUUCUCAAUGCAAUCUUUAUUGCUAAUAAAGUGGUGGAUGAAGCAUACAAGUUUAAAAAGUAAUUAUUACGAUUUUAAGAAGGUAUACAAUUGUGUGGAUUAGAAGUAUUUAGACACUGUAAUGGGGAAGUCGAAUUUUCAAUUUUUGUGGAGCAAACUAAUUUUGGAAUGUGUGUGUGUAUUGCAACAACAUUGAUGCUUAUGAAUGGCAGCUCAACUCAUGAAUUUGAAUUAAGACGGGGUUUGCGCCAAGUUGAUCCACUAUCUCCAUUUCUUUUUUUGAUUACUAAUAAAGGACAAAAUGGUAUAUUAAAUGCUAUUGUAGAUGCUUGUUUAUUUUUUGGUUAUACUCUUGGACAAACUGAGGCAAUGCAUGAUUCACAUUUAUUAUUUGCUGAUUAUGGAAGAGAAAAUUGGGUAAAUAUGACAGCUUUGAAAUCUAAUCUCAUUCUCUUUGAGGUAAUUUCAGGUCUGAAGGUGAAUUUUCACAAAAGUUUGUUGGUGAGAGUGAAUGUGUUUAAGUCUUGGAUGGUUGAUGCAUCAUUGGGGUUGAAUUGUAAAAUUGGCUAUAUUCCUUUUUUGUAUCCGAUCUUCUCAUAGGAGGCGACUCUCGUUGGUAAAACUUCAUGUAUUUUUCAUGUCCUCUUUGCCAGUUUCUUUUCUUCUUCAAAGCUCUGACAUGUAUUAUCUCCUCUAUUGAAUUUUUUUUUGGGGGGUUCUGAGGAUGUUAGGAAUACUCCAUAGAUUAAAUGAGACACUAUUUGUUUGGAUAAGGAGAAUGGAGGAUGUAGGUUCGGAGUAUUCGAGAGUUUAAUUUGGCUCUUCUAAAUAAAUGGUAUUGGAGAAUGCAUGUUGAGUGGCGGAGUCUAUGGUAUAAGGUUUUAGUAGUCAGGUAUGGUCGUGAAAUUUUUUUUUUUCUGACCCUAUUGGCCAAAAAAAAUUCAGCUUUGACCCCCUUUGAAAAAAAAUUUCCAAAAUGACCCACUUUUUUUUUUUUUUUGUCCUUUAGCGCGUUUCCGCCAUUUGAAACGACGGGACUGGCCGCCGGUCUGACACAUGUCACAUCGUGACUGGUCAGCUUUUUAUUUUUAUUUUUUUCUUGUCAGUUUCACACACCAUGAGGCAUGAACCAUCCAAUUUUUCAUUUUUGUUCCCUCAAAAAAAAAAAAUCAUUUUUGUUUUUUUAAUAUAAGUCUUAUAAAAAAAAAAAUAUAGGGUCCCCAUGAGCUUAGAUUUUAAGGUAAAUUUCUCUAGCUACUAGGCUAUUUAACAAAAAAAAAUAUAGGAGAUUUUAUAAUUUUAAUUGGAUUCUAUAUUUUAUUUUGAAAAAUUACUCGAAUAUGAACAAAAUCUAGAUUUUAUUUUGAAUAUAUAUAUCUUGAAAUAAUAUAUAUGUCAUUUCGUCGGAUAAUUUAUCGGUGAAAAAUAUAUAUUUCGUCGGAUAAUAAUAAUAAUAAUAUAUAUAUAUAAUUUAUCGAUGAAAAAAAUUAAUUCGUCGGAUAAUUUUUCACCGAUAAAUUAUAUAUAUAUUCGUCGGAGAUCCUAAAUUAUCCAAUUAAAAAAACAAAAAUGAAAAACUGGAUGGUUUGUGGUGUGUGAAACUGAUUUAAAAAAUGGUAUAUAUAUUAUUGGAUGCGAAAAAUUAACAUCAAAUGUACAUUGGCUUAAUGGUAACACUGAAUGGCAAUGACCCAUAUGCACCUGGUUCGAUUCUCCUGGGUGCAAAAUUGAAAUUUUUUCUCAAAUAAAUUAAAAAAAGCAAAAACGAAAAAAAAAUAAAAAAAUCGGUCCCGCCAAAUGGCAGGAAUGAUAAAAAAAAAAAAGCUGACCAGUCACGAUGUGACAUGUGUCAGAUCGGCGGCCCAGUCCCUCCGUUUCAGGUGGCGGGAACGCCACUAAAAGACAAAAAAAAAAAAAAAGUGGGUCAUUUUGGAAAAAAAAUUCAAAAGGGGGUCAGACUGGAUUUUUUUUUUGAAAAGUGGGUCAGAAAAAAAAAAAAAUUCUAUGGCCGUAGGGUAGGAAGGAGGUCGAGUUAAGGUGGGAGGGAGGUUGGGGUCAAGUUCGUGGAAAUAUUUAAUACGUAUUCAUAGAGGUGUGGGUAGUUGGUUCGAAGAUAAUUUAGUGUGGCUGGUCAGUGAUUGGGCCAAAACUUUUUUUUUUUUUUUUGGAUCAGUGGUUGGAAAAUGGUCUUUUAUCUGAGAAUCAUAUGGUGUCAAUGGCUGAUAUGUGUUCAUUAGGGCAGGGUGUCAGGGAAGAUUCUUGGAUGUGGUGGAGGAAGUUAUUAGCUUGAGAGGAGUAACAUGUGAGGGAGUGUUGUGAAUUGUUGUUUAACAAUUUUUUACAUGAUGAUGUGGAAGAAAGAUGAGAUUGGAAUCUUGACAUAAAUGCUAAACAAUGAGAGGUGUAUAUCACAUGUUGUCUAAAAUGGAGUAGGUGGAUCGAUCCGACAUACCUGAUAUUGUUUGGAACAAAGUUGUCCCUUUCAUAUUUCUUUAUUUUCUUGGAGGUUGUUACAUAAUUGGGUACCUACGAAGGACAAUUUGUUUCAACGUGAAAUCAUAUCGUCUAAUUCUAAUAUGUGUUCGAGUGGUUGUGGGUCGGAAAAAAGCGUCAAUCAUUUUUUUUGUGCUUUUUAUGGGAGUGUUUAGUCACAUUGUUUGUGAUGGUUAUGUAUACACUCGGCAAGUUCAUUGCAUCUUUCUGAUCAUCUCAUGCAAUUAGGAAAUUUAGGAGAUGACUCUAAAAAAAUAUGGCCUUCUCUUUACCUGAUUUGGUUGUCCUGCGUUUGACUUAUUUGAAAGAAAAGAAAUUGUCAUAUUUUUUAACAAAAGGAUUCUUCAAUUCAUCGCUUGACAAACAAAGUGAAAUUACUAUAUUGUUGGUGGCUGAAAACGAAAAAAAUGGUAAUUUUGCUUUUGAUCUUCAUUACUAAUGGAUCAGUGUGUUUCAAUGUUUGGAUUUUGCCACAAAGCUAGUAUUUUGUUGAUUAUUUUUUGGACUAUUACUUUUUCCACCCUAUCCAAUUCUCACGCACCCUGUAAAAUUUUCAAAAAUGCCCUUGGAUUUUCCGAUUAUAAAAUCCGAAAACAUUCGAAGUGAAUUCAGAUUACGCAAUCCGGACAAUGCUUAUUUAUAAUCAAUCAUCAGACUCUUUCACAUUUCAGUAGUUUUGCUUUUAAAAAAAAACCAAAAUACUAAGUAAAAAAUGCUGAAAACCAGUCAAAUAAAAUCAUAAAAAUACCACCAAAAAAUUCUAAAAAUCAAAUAAAACUAAUGCAAAAAUUUUCGGAUUUUUCUGAGAAUAUGAAAAAUUUUAAAAAAUGAAAAAUGGGUUUAAACGGUGGAAUUUUGGAUUUUGAGGGGCGGAGUCCCGUUAGAAGUCCCUUCUACGAGAGUCUUGAUACUUGAUUUUCUUCUGAUUUUCUGGGGAAGUUUCGGAGCAAUCCGAUCAAUUAACCCGAAAACCCAAUUUUUGACUAAGAACAACUAACAAUGACGAAAAACAAAAGGAUGAGAGUUAGAAAUAUUAAUAUUGUCCAUAAAAUGACUAUCCAUGUUACAAACAUGUUCACUUGAAAAAAUGGUGUUUACGGGGUGUUCAAAUUAUAUAAUCUGAAAAAUUCAAAUAGCGCACCCUAUUUUUUUAGGGUUUCGGAUUACAAAAUCUGAAAUUGUGAAAAACUCAUUUUUUUUCACCCUAGGGUGGGAAAAACUCAAAUUCGGAUUACACAAUCUGAAGGGCAUUUUCGUAAAAAAAUAGGGCGCGCGAGAAUCGGAUAGGGUGGAAAAAGUAAUAGUCAAUUUUUUGGGUGUUUAAUUGGUUUGUAUUCUAGGUUUGUUGUAACUUUCUGAACUUUGUCUUACAUUUCUUUUGAGGUUGGAAUUCCUUGUUGGCAUUAAUAUAUUUUUCAUUUUGGUGUUUUUUUUAGAAAAAAGUAAAGCUAUCCUGUAUAAAAAAAUCGUACAUCUAUCCGCUAUCCAGUAAAUAAAAUCAGCAAAUCCUUAUAAAAAAAAAGGUCAAACGCAUCUAAAGGUCCUUUAAGUUUUUCAUUUUUCCUAAAGUGGUCCUUUAAGUUUCAAAAGUCCCAAACAAGUCCUUUUAGUUUUUGAAUCGUUUCAAACAAGUCAUAUUGUAGAUAGCAUAGUUGGUAAUUGCUUCCUUGAACUCAUCUUUGGUACAAAAUCUGGCUCCUAACACCCACUUAAAAUUAGUCAUCUUUUUAGGCAUGACAAAUGGUGGAUAAUGUUCUUUGUUGUUAUCAUCAUCACCAUCAUCCUUUAAAAUGACUUGUUUGAAACGAUUCAAAAAUUAAAAGGACUUGUUUGGGACUUUUGAAACUUAAAGGACUUGUUUGAGACUUUUAAACUUAAAUGACCACUUUGAAAAAAACGAAAAAAACUUAAAAGGACCUUUAGAUGCAUUUAACCUAAAAAAAAAAAAUCAUUAAAUGGACGUCACGACCACAAAAGGAGUUUUUUUUUUUUUUUUAAACAACCACAAAGGAGUUUUGUGAAACAGGAAUAUACAAAACCACAUUUCAUUCAAAAAAAAAAGGAAUAUACAAAACCAAUUUUCAACAUUUUAUUUUGUUUCUUUAUUUGUAAAAAAUUAAUUUAGUUGCUUAAAUAAUAUUUUAAAAGUUUUACUUAUUUACUAAAUUCCCAUUAAUGAAAACAAUGAGUUUUUCGUGUCUUUUUAAAAAAAAUUGAAACCAAAACACAUUUAGGGGGUGUAUUUGAUUGAGAUUUUAUCAGACUAUUUUGGCAAACUAAAUCCUGAAGAUUUUAAAAGACUUUGUGAGAUUAUGUUGGAUUUUAAAAGAUUCUUUUAAAUGACUCUUUACAAUCAGGAUUUUGUAAAUGGAUUUAUAGUAGAGAUUUUUUAAGAUUUCAACGGACUUUACGAGAUUUUAUGUUUUUUUUUUGUGGUCGAGGUUUGAACCCCAGACCUUGCAUAUAUUAUGCAUUUGUCCAUAGCAACUGAGCUAAGCUCACGAUGAUCGAGAUUUUAGGAUUUAAAAGAACUGUAUGAAUUUUGAAGAAAAAUUCAAAAUGUAAAAAGAUUAUCAACUUAUAAUUUGAAAUUGACUAAUAAUAAUUCUAAUAAUUUACUCAAAAUAAUAAUAAUAAUAAUAAUAAUAAUAAUAAUAAUAAUAAUAAUAAUAAUAAUAAUAAUAACGCCUAAAAAAAUAAUGGUCACUGACAUAAAAAAAAGGUCACUUAGCAAAAUAAAAAACAACAACGAAAUAACAAAAUGUUUACCGCAAUCGUAAGUAUCUAAACCCUAAACAAAACACUCUGCUAUAAAACAAAUAAUGGUAAUAAAUUACAAGAAAUAGAUGACUUGAAAAAACCUAAAAAUCUGUAACAUUAACAGUAAAAUGUAAUGAACUAGUGUAACGCCCCGUGCCAAGCACGGGAUACAUUUUAUUUAAAUUUUUUUAAUAUGAUUUAAAUUUUAACAGAUUUUUUAAAUAUUAUUGUUUUUGUUUCUUUUCAUCCAUAAUUUUGACGUUAUGUGGUAUUUUAUCUUCGUAUUUAAAAUUGAACAAUAAAUAAUCAUUUAUUGAGAUCAAAAAGUUAAAUUUUAUAGAUGACUAUUUUUGUGAGAGUGAUAAAAUAAUCAACAAAAGUACAAUUAAACCCAAAAGAUAAAAACACUAUAAAUAAUUAAUAUAUUUCUAAACAAUUAACUAAUUAGUAAGAGUUUGUAUUAGCUUUGGUUUGUCAGUCAUUCAAUAUAUCAAAUGGAUAUGAUUACCUAUGUUUUAAUUUUUCACUCUUAAUAAAAAUAUUAAUUUUUUACUUAAUCACAAUGAUCUCUAUGAUCGCAAUUAUAAAUAAAAAAAACCUAAAUUCAAAAUUUUAGUUACAUCUAUUAUUUUUAUUGGUUUCAUAAAUAAUAUUCAUUGACAUUAUUUUUUUAAUUUAUGAAAAUAAGCACAUUUUUGAAUAAAAUUUACCUCAUAAAUAUAUGUAUAUUUUGUAUUUCAUUAAAAAAAAUGAAUUUUUAUGUUAAAUUUUGAAUAUAAAAAAAGCAUUAACAAAUCAUGUUUGGUUUUAUAUUUGUGAACAAAAAAUAAGUUUAAAACACAAAAACAAUAUUUUUAAAAUAAUAGGUUAUCGCUAAUUAUUCACACUUAGGGAAACUUAAUUUUUGUAUUUACUUUAGAAUUUGUGUAAAGUUUAAGACAUAAGUAAAUUGUAAAUAGAAAAUAUGGAAACUGAUUUUUUUUUAUUGAAUUGUCAAUACAUGCAACAAAAACGAUUUGUUCAAUUGAAAAUUGAAAUUCCCAAGACAAUAAAAGAGGUGCCGCAUCACCAUACAAAAUAACAUUAUACCAAAAGGUGUACAAACUUUACCAAAAUAGACCUGUAAUAAAAUAAAAUAAAAAACCUUAUUAACAUUCUUCAACUCCUCAAUAGUGGUCCUAGGAGUAAGUAAGAGAAACUCCUCAUUUACAGGUAUGCGAGAUGAAUUUGGUAACUGGAUCAAUCCCGAUGCAGGAGAAUUUGUAUUUGCACUAAGAAAGCUAUAAUAAAAAGUAUCAAUCAAUAAUAUUAUAACUUAAGAAAAAAAAAUGUUAUAUUAAAAAAAAUAUAUAUACCUUUUCCUUAUUUCCUUUGUUUCACCCAUUUCAGGAUUGAAUGUGAUUCUAGUGUAAGAAAAUGCAUUUCGCAAUGCUGGUUUUCCUAUCAUUAAGAUUCAAAAGUAUAUGAAUCAAGUAUAUAUAUUCGUAUAAACAAACAAUCACAAUUGCUAGUCAUAAAUUAUUACCUUGAAACAAUUUAACUUUUGUCAACAUAAUGGCUACAACAGCAUUUUGAGAUUCACCGGAAGAUAGGAAAGAGUUCAGCUCUUCAACAUACUCUCCAAAAAGAGUACAUUUAAAACGGUACGUACCUAUUUAAAAUUGUCAAAGAUUAUACAAAUAUUAAUAAAAAUAUUAUAAUACAGGUCUUGAAAAAUUACAAUUACAAAAAAAAUAAAUCAAACCUACCCAUUUGAAUCCAAUUCAAUGACAUUCAUUUUAGUUUUUACACCAUCUCUUUCGUACUCUCUUUCAACUCCAACUCCAAUCAUGACUCCAAUUACAUCUGCAUAUAUAACACACAUUAAAAUAUCAAUCAAAUUACUAUUUAUUAUUAAAAGAAUAUAACGUACAAUUGAAUCAUAUUAAACAAAACAUUUUAUUAAUUCAAUAUAUAAAUUAUUGUGUUAUUUUUGUAAGCAAAAAUAAUAUUUAAAAAAAUCUACAUGAAGAAAAUUAUAGUCACUUACCAACUAAGUAGUUGUUGUCGUAAGAUUCAUUGAAAACAUCAGGUGCAGGUGUAAACGAAUACACGUUUGUUGGGACCAAAACAGUUUUAGAUAGUUUGACUUUUGUGUUGAUUGUGAAAUUCAGUUUGUAUUCGUUGCGUGAUGGUCGAUACGAACCACUGUUGCUAGCAACAUUAAAUGAGGAAAUCGUGAACACCAUUCCCUCUUGGAGUUGUUCCUUGAACUUGUAGAUCAAUGUUCUUCGUAUAGACGCACCAAUUCGAUCACCCUAGAUAAAAAAGAUGAGAACACUAUACUUUAAACAAAAAAAUACUAAAAAAAAAAAAAAAAAAAAACGAUAUGAAAAAGGUACCUUUCGAUCCAUUAGAACCAACUCCAUGGAAAAUGGUAGUUUUUUAUUUUUGUAGUCUUGACCAAACCAAGCACGAACAACCCUCACAACCAAUGUCCACGAUUGUUUUCUUGGCGAAACAUUAGAGAUGAAGUUGUGUUUCGUUGACAUUUUCCUUUGCAAUAGAAAAAUUACAGAAAUAGUUUAGAAUAUAGAUAUCAGAGCACCAAAGAACAGAAAACGAAGAACUAUAUUUUGUGAUUGUUGUGUACUCAUACCCAAAAUCUCUACUAUUUAUAUAGAAAAAUAGUACCAUAACGGUUAAUAUAAAUUAAUUAUCAAUUUGACCGUUUUAAAAUUAAUAUUAUCAACGUCUUUAAUAUUAUAAAACGUGCAUUAAACGAUUAAAUUAUAUUUCAUGUAACGUACAAAAAAUUAACUUCAUAACAUUUGAAAUUUAAUUUAAUAUUUAAUAAUAUCUUAUAAAUAAUUAUGUAAUAUAGUUUUGUAACAAACAAAAAUUAAUUAUAUAACCUUAAAAACUAAUUAAUACAAUUAAUUUUUUAAUUAGUAGGUUAAUGCCUUAGUGUAACGUCCCAAAAUUCAAAAUAUAAUUUAUUCAGUUUAUUUAUUAUAAUUUUGUAACCAACCAAAUUUUGAAUGUUACAUAUAAAUGUUAAUUGAAUACUAAUUAGAUUAAUAAUUAUUUGAUUUGUAACGUUCAAAUUUUUAUUGUAAAAUAUAAAUUUUAAUCGAAACAGUAAUUAUAUUAAUCAUUAUCUGAUUGUAACCAACUAUUUACUUUAUGUACAAUUUAAUGUUAAAUAAAAAACGGUUUUUAAUAAUAAUUAAAAUUAUUAAGCUUGUAUUAAAAAUUAGGAGAAAUUUUGGGAACAUAUGCCAAGUAGGCUUUUGAUGAGGUGGACAUACUUAGAGAAAAGGAAUUUGAAAUAGGCUAUUUCUAAGAACUCUAAAUUGUUAGUAUAAAGAUAUGUAACGUGAAUUUCUUUUAAAAAGGAUUUAUUGCUCUUAUGAAAAUUCCUUAAAAAAAUGAGACAUGCUGUGUAUGUAUGUAUAGUCGAGAUCGAGUCUAUUUUUUAACGUUAGCACUGGAAAUGGAUUUUUUCUAAUUUUUAGGAAUCAUUAAAUAUUGUUUGGACGAUUAAUUUAAUUUUGGAAUGCAUUUAUUAUGAAAAUAAACCCAAAAUAGAAAAAACAAACCUGCUUACUGCGUACAUAUUAUUGUUCAUUAACAAAUCAACCCAAAAACCAGAAAACCAAAAAAUAAAAAUAAAAACAACAAAAAACCACAAACAUUUCUUUGCAUCUUCUCAACUCCCAUUCUCAUCAUUGUUUCAAGUAUUCCAAAACUAUGGCCAUCAAAGCUCAUCCAUUAUUUUCAAUGGUUCUAGGGUUUACUCUACCCUUGAUAGCAUCACUACUACUAUUACUUAUGCUCCUUGCCGGCGCCUUGGUCAUAGUAACAUGUUACCGCCUUAUCCAAAGGUUCCAACACCAGAGUUUCCUCACUAGCAUCUCGUUGAACGAUGUGGAGUCCCAGUCCACAAUGGUGGAGGCCCCACACGUACACGCCUGUGGCUUGGAAAAGAGUGUUAUAAACGCUAUUCCCUCGUUCAUCUACAAUACCACUAAAUCUAAACAAGAUGAAUCUAAUCAUGAGUGCACCAUUUGCUUGGUUGAAUUUGAAAACAAUGAUUACAUUCGCACCCUCCCUCUUUGUUCCCACAUUUUCCAUCUCGCUUGCAUUGAUGCUUGGCUUCAUAAACAACCUAGCUGUCCUCUUUGUCGCUCAUGUCUUCGUUGUGAUCAAUUUGAUAAGUCCCCUUUGAAACCUAUGAUGUCGGAUAGAAUCCACCCCUCCUUUCAUGACCACAUGCCUUUCCAAAUCUCUCAUUCUCACUCUGUAAUUCAAUCAGUGAUGGAAAUCACACUCUACUCCAACAAUGACGAUGAUAAUCACGGUGUAGGUGAUGGGGCACCGGUGUUUGGAGCAACAAUGCAGGUUCCUUAGGGAUGUCAAGCAUGAAGUCGUCGCAUUUUUUUUCUCUUUCAGUCAAGGAGGUUCUUUCUAGAGUCAGACUCGACCCAAUAGUAAAAUACACGGGUUUAAUGUUUAGUUGAGUUAUUAGUUAUUAUAUUAAGGUUGACCUUAUAUAAUUCAAAUAUUUAGAAAUACGUUAACAAUUAGUUUGUAGGAACUUCUAUGGUACACUCACAAUUUUGAGUGUACCGGUACUCUUGUUUCACAAAAUAUAUAAAUUAAAGAUCACUUUAAUGAAAUAAAAAGGUAUUUGUCAAUAUUUAUAUUUUAGAAAACGUCAUUUCAUAAGAAAAACUAUCAUUUCAUUGUUUAUAAGUAUCAUAUUACAAAAUUUACAUUUUGUCAUAAAAAAUAAUCAAUAUUCAUUGUUAUGAGUAAUAAAAAUUCUUAAAAAUUAAAUUUUAUUUCGUCGAANNNNNNNNNNNNNNNNNNNNNNNNNNNNNNNNNNNNNNNNNNNNNNNNNNNNNNNNNNNNNNNNNNNNNNNNNNNNNNNNNNNNNNNNNNNNNNNNNNNNNNNNNNNNNNNNNNNNNNNNNNNNNNNNNNNNNNNNNNNNNNNNNNNNNNNNNNNNNNNNNNNNNNNNNNNNNNNNNNNNNNNNNNNNNNNNNNNNNNNNNNNNNNNNNNNNNNNNNNNNNNNNNNNNNNNNNNNNNNNNNNNNNNNNNNNNNNNNNNNNNNNNNNNNNNNNNNNNNNNNNNNNNNNNNNNNNNNNNNNNNNNNNNNNNNNNNNNNNNNNNNNNNNNNNNNNNNNNNNNNNNNNNNNNNNNNNNNNNNNNNNNNNNNNNNNNNNNNNNNNNNNNNNNNNNNNNNNNNNNNNNNNNNNNNNNNNNNNNNNNNNNNNNNNNNNNNNNNNNNNNNNNNNNNNNNNNNNNNNNNNNNNNNNNNNNNNNNNNNNNNNNNNNNNNNNNNNNNNNNNNNNNNNNNNNNNNNNNNNNNNNNNNNNNNNNNNNNNNNNNNNNNNNNNNNNNNNNNNNNNNNNNNNNNNNNNNNNNNNNNNNNNNNNNNNNNNNNNNNNNNNNNNNNNNNNNNNNNNNNNNNNNNNNNNNNNNNNNNNNNNNNNNNNNNNNNNNNNNNNNNNNNNNNNNNNNNNNNNNNNNNNNNNNNNNNNNNNNNNNNNNNNNNNNNNNNNNNNNNNNNNNNNNNNNNNNNNNNNNNNNNNNNNNNNNNNNNNNNNNNNNNNNNNNNNNNNNNNNNNNNNNNNNNNNNNNNNNNNNNNNNNNNNNNNNNNNNNNNNNNACAUAACAACAUCAUAAUCAAUAUCAUAAACAACAUCAUAUAAUCUUCAUAAGCACUUCAUUAACAACACGUGGAUAGAAGACAACUCAACAACUUAACAACUCAUGGAUGACAACUCAUCAACAACGACUUUGACUCGACAAUGCAACUUCGACUUCUUAAUCAUGCAUGUGGUACCAAUCCAGAGCAUCAAGCCCCCAACAUAUUGAGCAUACAUACACUCCCAGGGCAUCAAGCCGUCAACUUAAAGAGCAAAAGCUCACAUGGCAUCAAGUCCUCAACGUAUUGAGCAUAAAUACACUCCUAGGGCAUCAAGCCCUCAACUUAAAGAGCAAAAGCUCACAGGGCAUCAAGUCAUCAACGUAAAUGAGUAUGCAUGGAAUCAACAACUAAUGCAACGACAACCAACAACUUCAACGACUUCGACAACAACUUACAACUUCAACGACAUCGAUAACAACUUACAACUUUAACGACAUUGACAACAACUUACAACUUUAACAACUUGACCAACAUAUACAACUUAAUGAUUUAAUAAUAAAUACAACAGAGACAACAACAUACAACAACUUCACAACAUAGCAUAAUUAAUAAUAACAACUUAAAAGGUAUAACAACAUUAUUUUCUAUAACAUACAUUUUCCACAUAAAUAUAUGUAACUAAAAUUAUUCAACAACAACAUUCACAUAAUAUAUGUAUUUCAAAUUAUCCAACAAAGAUAUUCACGUCAAACUAAAUUAGAUCCAUCACAACAUAGGUUAAAUACUCUUAAACCCCUUAAUUAAACUCCCAGUACUUCUAGUUUUGAGGUUUGAAAUUAUUCCAUAAGUUUUGGAUUAACUUAGAAACGGUUAUGCUGAAUUUUCAUAAGAUUUCACUAAGAUCUCGUUGGAGUAUUUUCAUCAUAUCUCAAGAACCAAAAAUCAUCAUUUUCACGUCAAACCAAAGCCACUGGAAAGCUAACUCAAUUAUCUACAACUUUCAUGUUUACACCAAAGGCCAAUUCAAAACAGAAACGUGUGAAAAAGACGCAAGAACAUGAAACGGGAUGUGCUGUCAGAGAGCAACACGGGAAAAACCCACUUUUCACCUCAAAUUCCCAAUUUUAACUUCCCUAUGCACAAAUUUGAUCCAAAAACUUGUCUAACCAUUUCUAUACAUGUCAAGACACUCAAAAUCAUAUAAAACAUUGCACUAAAAAUAAUCCAUGAUCUGAACAUCAAUUCUACACAAAUUCAACGGAUUUUCUACUCUACCAACAAUCAAUUACAACUUCAAAACCUAAUUUCCAAAUUCCCAUAACUACAACCAACAACAUGCUAAACUCAAUUUCAGAAUUAUACAACUUAAAAUUAGAGAAAGUUAGUCCCACACUUAGCUUAAAUUAGAUGAUUGGACUCUACAAGAUUGCUCCUCUUAUCACAAGAUUCUUCUCUUCUCUGACUUCUCUCUUCUAUUAGUUUUCUCCAUUUUUCUCCAAAAACAGGUUUCACGUAAUCCUUAUUUUCUAAUUCUAACUCUCUCAUUUUAUAUAAAUCCUUAACCUACUUAUUUUCUCUUAUUUCCAAAUCUGCCCUCCAAAUCUCAAUAUUCUAUUAUAAUAUAUAUAUAUAUAUAUAUAUAUAUAUAUAUAUAUAUAUAAAAUAUAAAAUAUUUCUAUAAUGAAUAACAAAUAUAUCUCUAUAACAAAUAUAUUUCUACAACAAAUAACAAAUAUAUCUCUAUAACAUAUAUAUUUCUACAUCAAAUAAGAAAUAUAUUUCUACACGAGAUAACAUAUAUAUUUCUACACCAGAUAAUAUAUAUAUAUAUAUAUAUAUUUCUACACCAAAUAACAAAUAUAUUUCUACAAUAAAUAACAUAUAUAUUACACUAAUAAAUACCAACAUAUAACAUAACAAAAUAUCACUCAUCAAAAUAAAUCGACUAAAUUAUAAAAAGACAUCUAAACUCAAUAAAAUAAAUAAAUAAUAAAAUAGAGCGUUACAACAUCAAUUUUGUAUCCUAUUUUAUACUUGUAUUGGUAUAAAAAAUUCAAUUAUUUGAUUGGAUAAGUAUCAAUAAAAUUUAUAAAUAAAAUAGUAUAAAUUUAAGGAAAAAUAUGGCAGAAAAAAAGUUGGUAUCUUUUUUAUGUAUAAGUAAACACAUUUUUUUUAAAGGGCGUAAGUUUACAUGAGUUGGUAGAGACGAUACAUAAUAUAUGUAAGGUUCGGUGUUCAAACUCUGGCCACCACGAAUAAAAUUUAUAAAUAAAAUAGUAUAAAUUUAAGGAAAAAUAUGAAAGAAAAAAAGUUGGUAUCUCUUUUAUGUAUAAGUAAACACUUUUUUUUUUAAAGGGCGUGAACUUAACUCAGUUAGUAGGAACAAUGCAUAGUAUAUGUAAGGUUCGGUGUUCAGACCUUGAUCGGCCACCACCAAAAAAGAAAGAUACGUUGAUUGUUGUUGACUUCCAAUGUAGUUCCGACAACUCCACAGUAGUUGGCGGCGGUAGACCGAUGAUCCACAAAUGUCAACAGUGGGACUCUAACGUCCCAUGACGGUUGGGAAUGAGCUUUGAUAGCCCUUCACUAUGGUCGACCGCCUUAUAGCGCUAUUGGUGUUAUUUAUUUAUAAAUAGAUACUUUUAAAAAAUUUUAAAAAUAAUAAGAAUAAUAAUAAAAAUAAUUUGUUCUUUUAUUUAAUUUUGUUUUUUUGUGUUAAAUAUGGUGUCCCAAUAUAUGGGGUUGCCAACCAAAAACUACUCUCCUCUAGAAAUAAAAACCAAAAACAUCCUUGUUAUCACCCAUAUAAUUAAAAUCUCUCCUCUCAUUGCUCAUUCCUCCUCUCUGUCAAAAUAUUUAACGGACUCUAAGUCAAACAUAAUGAAUUUAUUUUAAAAAAGAUUUAUUUCUCUUACAAAAAUUCCUUAAAAAAAUGAGACAUGCUGUGUAUGUGUAGUCGAGAUCGAGUCUAUCUUUAACGUUAGCACUGGUAAUGGAAUUUUUCUAAUAUUUAGGAAUCACUAAAUAUUGUUUGGACAAUUAAUUUAAUUUUGGAAUGCAUUUAUUAUGGAAUUAUACCCAAAAUAGAAAAAAGAAACCCGCCUACUGCGUACAUAGUAUUGCUCAUUAACAAAACAACCCAAAAACCAGGAAACCAAACAUAAAAACCACAAACAUUUCUUCUCACUCCCAUUCUCAUCAGUCAUCAGUCUCAAGUAUCCCAAAACUAUGACCAUCAAAGCUCAUCCAUUAUUUUCAAUGGUUCUAGAGUCCACUCUACCCUGGAUAGCAUCACCACUACUCUUACUUAUGCUCUUUGCCGGCACCUUGGUCAUAGUAACAUGUUUCCGCCUUAUCCAAAAGUUCCAACACCAGAGUUUCCUCACUUCCAUCUCAUUGAACAAUGUGGAGUCCCAGUCCACAAUGGUGGAGGUCCCACACGUACACGCCUAUGGCUUGGAAAAGAGUGUUAUAAACACCAUUCCCUCGUUCAUCUACAAUACCACUAAACCUAUACAAGAUGAAUCUAAUCAUGAGUGCACCAUUUGCUUGGUUGAAUUUGAAAACAAUGAUUACAUUCGCACUCUCCCUCUUUGUUCCCACACUUUCCAUCUCGCUUGCAUUGAUGCUUGGCUUCAUAAACAACCUAAUUGUCCUCUAUGUCGCUCAUGUCUUCGUUGUGAUCAUUUUGAUAAGUCCCCUUUCAAACAUAUCAUGGCGGAUAGAAUCCACCCAUCCUUUCACGACCACAUGCCUUUCCAAAUCUCUCAUUCUCACUCUGUAAUUCAAUCAGUGGUGGAAAUCACACUCUGCUCCAACAAUGACGAUGAUAAUCACGGUGUAGGAGGCGGGGCACCGGUGUUUGGAGCAACAAUGCAGGUUCCCUAGGGAUGUCAAGCAUGAAGUCGUCACUUUUUUUUUCCAAUCAAGGAGGUUUUUUCCAGAGUCAGACUCGACCCAGUAGUAAAAUACACAGGUUUAAUGUUUAGUUGAGUUAUUAGUUAUUAUAUUAAGGUUGACGUUAGAUAAUUGAAAUAAGAGAAAUGCUAGCAACACACAUUCUAACAAAUAUUUUUCAACACACUCUCUUUGAUUGGUUAAAACUCACAUGUGAACCACCAAAUUUAUAUGGGACUUACAUGAUUUGGUAGGACCCAUGUGAAUUUUAACCAAUCAAAGAGAGUGUGUGUUAGAAUGAGUGUUGCUAGCAUUCUUAUUGAAAUAAUUAGAAAUAUGAUAUCAAUUAGUUUGCUGACUUUUCUAAUGCGUUAUAGGUUCAAUUCAUGUUUACUCUUAUUUUUGUGUAUCAACUCUGUUGAAUUUAAUGUUUGAUCAAAUAGGAAAACCAAAUUUAUUCAUCAUCUCUUCAUAUUAUCAACUUUAUGAAUGUUUCCCUAUAUUUCUUACCUGCAUACACAUUGCUACAAUUGGUUAAAAUUUUGGUAAAACACUAGGUUUUCCAGUGAUUUGAAUUUAAGCAUAUCACUAAUAUCAGUAUAACAUGCGUUGAAAUGUUGCUUGCACCUAUCAACUAUGGUUUUCUCUCUCUCUUUUCAAAAGUGCUACUAUUAGGAAUGGUUGUUUUCUUUUCCACUUCAAAGUUGUUAAACUAUUUGUUAGGAAGCAUUACCGGUACACCAAAAGAUAGCUUAGAAUGCAGUGCCAUUCCUCAUAGGAGAUGAAUGCAAUCAAAUGUCCAUAUAUGAUAUAUGAUAUGGCUUAAUUGGUCCAAACUAAAUAGCACGAACUUGAUAAUUUAUCAAGGUGAAGCGAGCCAUGCCAAUAGCAGAAUGUACAAGGGCACUAUAAUUUCUGUUAUUCAUAUUGAUCUUUAUAGGCCUAACUUUGCAUUGAUUUGAUGGAUAGAACAAAUUCUUUCAUAUCUAUGCACAUGACCAAAAAGAACCAAGUCAACCUGUUUCAUGUUUACAAUACAGGUUAGCUACAAAUACAAAGAUCAUCUUAUAGCUUCUACUAGUAAUAAGAGUUAUGCCAUGGUACUACUAAUUAGAGUUAAAGAUGGUUAUGCAUGGUAUCCUCUGUCCUACUUUAACCCAUGAAACUUUCAUUUAAACUUUUUAUUUUACAAUUUUAUCUCUCUUUUACAUGAUCAAAUGAUAGAAUUUGAUCAUAAUUUCAAAUUUGAAGCAUCGUUUAGAUUUAAGGAGUAUAAUAGUAUAUUAUAUUUGUUAAAAUUUUAGGGUCUAACUCAUCCUCACAAAAUUGGCUUGUAAGGUGAGGAUUGUCUCCUUUUUAUAUACUUUUUUCAAGAGUCUUAUCUAUCUGAUGUGAGACUUGGAUUUUUCCCAAUACAUCUCCCUCACGCCCAGCACUCACUCUCUGGGCUUGGUGUGUGAAUAGGUUUAGGCGGCCCUUGAAUUCGACAAGCUCUGAUACCAUGUUAAAAUUUUAGGGUCUAACUCAUCCUCACAAAACCAGCUUGUAAGGUGAUGAUUGCCUCCUCCUUAUAUACUUUUCUCAAGAGUCUUAUCUAUCCAAUGUGAGACUUGAAUUUUUUCCAAUAAUAUUUGAUUUGAUUCAAAUUUGAUGAAAUCUUAAUUUAAAUUUGAUUUUUUUUUAAGGAUAAUUCAAAUUUGAAUUAAAAAUACAGUAAUUCAGAUUCAUUUUAUCAUAAUUUAGAGACAACCAACUAUAUAGUCUUGUGCGAGAAAAUCAAACAGCUAGGUACAUGUGUACGUAUGGACGCUAGUAACAUAUAAUACACAUGAUAAUAAAUAUUAACCUUAAUAGCAGUUUUAGCUCUCUACCUUUUUUAAAGUUGUAAUUUUGACUCCCUAAGAAAAAAAAAUUAUAAAAUCGCCCCCUAAUUUUUGCACAUGUGGCAGUUUUGGCCCCUAAUGUCAAUUUUGACUCGGUCUACGCUGACGUGGCACCUUAAGUGAUGUCCCACGUGUUUUUUUUUGUGUCUUGGGGGCCAAAACUGCCAUAGUUGCAAAACUUAGAGGGCGAUUUUGUAGUUUGUUUUUCUUAGGGGCCAAAAUUACAACUUCGUGAAAGUUAGAGGGUGAAAACUACUAUUAAGCCUAAAUAUUAAACUUGACUUCAUAUGAAUUUAAUCAUAAUUUUAAUUUUGAAUCAAAUUUGAUCUAAUCUUAGUCAAACUUAAUAUACUCGUUAAAACAAUCUUAACGAAUCCUAAAUUAAUUUUGAAUUAAAAAUAUCUUUAUUAACUUUAAUUUUUGUCAUAAUAGAAAUCAGGGUUAAUGGUGCUUUACCCCCUGUAAUAUAGGUCAUUUUUUUAUUUUCCCCUCUAUAAUUUUUUUUUUUUGAUUUACCCCCCUUUAAAAAAAUAAAGUCGUUUUUUUAUGACCUAUUAGGGGGGUAUUCCAAAAAAAAAUAUUUUACAGGGGGUAAAUAAAUAAAAAUAUUUUACAGGGAAAAACCAAAAAUGACCUAUAUUACAGGGGUAAAACACCAUUAACCCUAGAAAUCAACUUGAUCAUCCAGAAGUCUUAAUUCAACUGGCAAAAUGCCGAAAUUGUUAGGCCGGAUGCCAUGACCAGGGUUCGAACCCCGGUACCUCCACUUGUGUGUGUGAGUUUAUAAUGACUUUGUCAUUUCGUCUAUCUACCAAAAAAAAAAAAAUCAACUAUGAUCUUCAUUCAAGAAAAGCUGAUAGUUACACCAUUUUCAAUUAAUCUCCAAUAUUCCAUUGAGCGAAGCAAGUUUUCCAUCAACAUUGUCCAAUGUUUGUAAAACCUAUUGAAUUUAUGGAUUGCAGGUUGCAUGAAAUUUAAGCUUUCAGCCAUAAUCGAGACACCAAAACAAGAAUCAAAGAGAAAGAUUACAAGAUGAAAUUGAAUUUCGUAAAAGAAAUUGAAACGAACGAAGAAUCUUGAAGUUGAAUAACGACGAAGUUGAACGCGUGCAAUGAUAUUACCAAACCAACUGACUUGUGUAACCAACUUUCCCACCAAAAAACUACGAUAUUGUUUUCUUCCAAGCAAACAAGACCCGAGUUUGGGCUCCAUAUACCAAUUGUAAAGUGGAAAUGUGAUUCUCAUUCAUUAUUGAUACUACAUGACCCUUAUAUAUAUAGCCAUAUUACACAUACAAGUGAUAGUUUCCACACUUGCUUACACUCCAAGUAAUCUCCUAAUUAUGACUAAUCAUUAGUCUAAUAACAGUGAACUUCAAAUAGGUUAACCAACACUGUAAAAUGACUAUUCUGAUCAUAAUUCACCCAAUUUUCGCAGAAAGCAGUUUGAGAAAAAACACAACUUGACGAUGCCAUAUCAAUGAUAAACAAAAUAAUUCAAAUCUUCUGAUAAAAAAGAAAACAGUUGUAUUUAAAUAUGAUAAACAAAAUAAACUGUAAUGAUAGAAUGAGUUGAAACUUGGUGUCACCCACACCAAACCUUAUUCGAUGCCAGAGUUUAGAAGUCAAGUUUAUCAUCACUUUACAUAGUUAACUAUGACAUCUUUGAAGGGGAUUGAUACCAGCCCCACUGCUCAUCAGAUAUGUACCUAGUAACUUGCUUCACACUCAAGUAAUUAUCAAGUCCCCUGAAUGGAAAACAACAAUAAAAAUUCAGACUCUAAUUCUCAGGUUUCAUAUUUAAUUUAUUUUGUAGAUUUUAGAAAACAAGGGUCAUACCAUUCUCCUAAUUCUCGACCAAAACCACUACGUUUAAUGCCUCCCCAUGGAGCUCGAACGAAACCUGUUUGAGCACAAUUGAUCCAUACAAUUCCAGAUUUAAGAACCUGCAGAAAACAAAUAUAAAGUUCAAACCAUUCAGUUAGUAAAAGUCGAAUAAUUUUGUUGUUUUUUUUUUAAAAUAUAUUGGAUUAGUCUCACCUUAGAUAAGCGCUCGCAUCUUUCUAAAUCAUUUGACAUCACAGCAGACCCCAAGCCAUAGCUGUGAAAUAUCAUGUUUGUGACUUUGAUAUCAAUCCACAAGUCAAGAUAAAAGUGGUUUAGAAAUGAAAUAAUGAUCAGUUCAUCAACUCACUGGGUGUCAUUGGCUAGGUCAAUAGCUUCUUCCUCGGUGCUAAAUGUUUUCACAGAGAGUACAGGUCCAAAAACCUCUUCUCUCCAAAUUUGCAUUGAAGUAGUCACAUCUGUUAUGAUGGUUGGUUCAACAAAGUAUCCCUUCUUUAAAUUCUGCCAUCGAAUUUGAAGACGUAUUAUUUCUCGUGCAAAAUGCAGAAAAACAGAACCGAACAUGCUCAAGAGUAUACUCAUACCUCUGGUCGACGCCCACCAGUUAAAAUUGUUGCACCCUCACUCUUAGCCGUUGAGAUAAAAUUCAAUACUUUCUUAUACUAAAUCAUAUAACACAGAUAUUAGAUAUUGUAUUGUCUUUUUUUUUUUUUUUUAAUUCAAAUAAUUCUGAAAUCAAUUUUAAUGUUUUUAAACUGCAAACCAGAUAGAAAACUAAAUCAUGUUUACUACAUAAAACUUUAAAUCACCACACAAUGCAUUCAACUUUGAUCAUAAUCACUAAUAUCUCACUACCGUAUGUUUACAUUUUGGACAAUGGAGAAAGUUUGAACAAACACAAGACAAAUACAGUAAGUCCAUGUUAGCAGUUGCCAGUUGAUUUUCCGGAGUACAUAUCAACUGCAUGUUUUAAGCAAACUAAAAGUCAUAGACUAAAACCCUCAUUUUGCAAGUAGAUAUGUCUUCAAUCGCGAAUAAUGUUAUAAACUAAAGCAGUUGAUUUCCCGGAUUACGUAUCAACCGCGAAUAAUGUCUUCAACCUAAAAUUAUGUCUAAAGCCAAAGAAGUGAUAAACAGCAAAGAGCAAACAUACCUGUGCUUCACUGACAAUAGGGCCUAGCCUGCAACCUUCUUCCAAGGGGUCUGAAAUUUUGAUGUUUUUGGCCCAUUUCACAAGUCUAUUCACAAAUUCUACAGCUAUACUUUCCUGAAAUCAUAAAAGUGUUGAUCAAUUUUUUAUCCAAAGCCAAUGGAAUCUCUAUGAGGUUUUCUGACAAAACUCUACCACAAUGUAAGGAAAUCUAACACUCUCAUUUAUGCUGAAAAAAUUAGAAAAGUGAGCUACAAAUUCAUAUUCAUGUGCAUGAACAUGUAUUAUUGAUGGAAUGGAGAAUUGUAGCGUGUCUGUUAAACUUACAUGCACAAUAAGGCGAGAUGUUGCACUGCAUAUCUGACCAUUUGUAUAGAAGCAGCCAUAGAUGGUCCAUUCAGCAACUGUUUAAUGAUGGAAAACAGAUCAAUAAAUCAUCAACCGUAUAUGGGAAAAUGUUUUCGAUCAUGCAAUAGGUUUUGGAUACCGAAAAUUUACUCGACUAUAAUGUAUAAUGGGAAAUGUGAUUCCACAGUGCAUGAAAUUAAAAUAUGGUCUGUCUAUAAAAUGUGAUGCCAAAAUGCAAACGAUAAGUGAUUCCACAAACUAUACAUAUUUGAGAAGGCACACCAACCCUUAUCAAGGUCAACAUCCUCAAAAACAAGUAUUGGGCUCUUUCCACCGAGCUCUAGAAAAACAGGCUGCAAACAAGAAAACACAAAUUCGAUAUUGUUGUGAAUUCGGUCACUUGUUCAAAAUCAACAAGACCACAUGUGAAACAAAUAACAAUGGCAAUAAUCUUGUUUAAAAAGAAUUUGUAGAUAUUCAUGCUUAAAAAUACCUUGAUUAGUUGUGCUGCAGCUGUCAUAAUCUUGCUCCCAGUUGCAGAGCUACCGGUAAAGGAAAUCUAUCAAAUAGCGGGCACAAUGGUACAAUAUUUUAGCAAACUUAAAAGAUGGAAAUAUAUCAACACUUGCAACAAUAUCUAGCUCCUUAUAGUUUUGAUUCCACUAAUGACUAAAAUAUUUUGAAGUUUCGAACCAUAUCUACAUCAGGAUGAGAUGCCAAAGAAGCGCCAGCUUCAUGGCCUAAUCCAGUGACAAUAUUUAAGACACCGGGAGGAAGGCCAACUUCUCUGCAUAUUUCACCUAACUCCAAACAAGUCCUAAAUUUGUAAACAAAAAGAAAACAUGAUAAAUCAACUUAACAAAUAAUCAAGUUUGUAAUAGUUGAUGAAAACAUACACAGAUGCCAAUUCAGACGGCUUCAAGAUUGCAGCACAACCAGCAGCCAGAGCUGGAGCAAUUUUCCUUGCCGCCAUUGAGAGAGGAUAGUUCCUAAAAUAUAAAAACAAUUACUGAAAAGGAAUUCAUAAGCAAAUAAGAUGAAGAAAAAACAGAUGUCAUACCAUGGAGUAAUUAAUGCAACAACACCAAUAGGCUCCUUGAGAACAUAGCUUUUGAAGGUAUUCAUAGGAAGAGAUAUAGGAGCUUUUUGCUUUGUAUCCAAUCCUUCAGCAAGUCCAGCAUAGUACUCAAAACAACCAAUAACACCGCCCUAGAUAAUCAUCAAACCACAACAGGUCCCAAGUAAGCAAAAAAUGCAACAUGUUUUUUCAAUGACAAAUAUUCAAAUGCUACUAAUUACCAUGUCCCCUAGUGCUUCAUCCAAUGGUUUUCCACAAUCAAUUGAUUCCAGUUUGCCUAGUUCAUUCUUUUUCUCAGUUACCUGUGAUAAAGGAAAAGAAAAAGGAUAACUAGUCAGGUCUCAAGACAAGCACAACUAGAUCAGUCAAAGAGUAAAUUUAAGUAGUCAUGUUAAGGAGUGAAUCACCAAUUUAGUCCUAAAAUUGUAGGCAUCCCAUAAUUUGGUCACAUAAAUAAACGAAAUUCUAAUAUGAUUUCAGAAAUUUAAAAUCAUCGAUCACAUGAGUCUUUUGGUUAGUCAAUAUAUAAUCGCUGAAAUUUUCUCGAAAGGGCUAAUGUGGUUAAGGAUUUUCAAUAUCAUAGAUUAUUUUGGAAUUUUAUAAAUUUCAAGACCUAGAAUCCACCAUAUAAUCAAUAUAUUUUCAACUUUCUUACCAAAAAAAUAUUAGUUUAUUUUUUGUAAAAUAUAACUUUCAUUUUCUUUUUCUUACAAUUUUUAGUGAAAUAGGUCACAUUUGUCUGGCUUUAUUUCUAUGUUCUCUCAAGACUUCAUCUUCACAUUAUGUUGGGCAGGCCAUGUCAAAAGGUAAAAUAAAGUUAAAUUAUUUUUAUAUAAGUUAUAAGUUGUUUUCAUUAAGUAUGUUGGAAGAUUUACGAUCUUCAUAAGUUUUAGAAAUAGUCUCAUAAGUGAUUAUACUAGUAGAUAAGUUCAAGUCAAUUCAAACAAACCAUAAAUUGGUUUUACACUUAAAAAUAGAAUAAAGUUUAUUAGUCCCUUCAAUCCAGCAAGAAAUUAGAACCUUUGCAGCAAUUGCUCGAAGAUAGCCAGCACGAACAGAACCAGAAGCAGUACACCAAUCUCUACCUUUGUUUCUGGAAAUGGCUCUUUUAGCAGCAUCCACAGCAAGGUCAACAUCUUCCUUAGUAGCAGCAGGUAUAUCCCCUGCAUGUGUGUCAACCAUUCACACAAUGCCACAACAUAGAAGUAGUUAUUAUCAUAUCAUACUUUGAUAAAAAAACAGAAACAUUAAAAAUGAGAGGGACUAAACAAAGUACCUAUGAUGUUUUCAUUGGAGGGAUUGAUUAUUGGAAUCCUUUUGUUGAGUAUAGGAGCUUUCCACUCUCCAUCUAUGAAUAAUUGUCUACUUGCUACUGCUAUUGCCAUAUUUUCCUCUCUGUCACGCACUGUUAGCUUGUGUAUAUGUUUCUUCUCUUUUUCAAGGAUUGGAUCAACAAUGGUCCAUGCUAUAAUCAUAAUAUUAAAUAGAUGAUUUCUAAUUUUCUAUAUGGCUCGGCACACAAAAUAUUGCACGACACGUGAUUUUGUAUGUUAAUAUAAUGGGUGUUAGCUUAUAAUCAUUUUUUUAAGGAAAAUGCUCUUUGUUCCACAAAGUUGUUAACAACCGCAUCACAACAGUGUAAAGUAAGCGCAUCAUAAAUAAUUAAAUUUGUGUCCUAUAUCCAUCCAUCCAUGUAUUGCACUAAGGGAAUGCUAACAAAUGGCCCUAGAGUAUUUGAUAAGAAAUUUAAAGUAUAAAUUUCUUUUUUGGAUUUGUAUAUUCAUCACAUUCAAUCAUCAAAAAACAACGUUUUUUAAAUGAAAGUUAUCAAUUGUUUCCAUUUUUUUAUCUUUAACAUCAAAGAACACUUUUCUUACAUGAAAGUUAUCACUUGUUAACAAGACAUAUAUCUAAGUUAUUCGUGAUACAUUCGGGACAAAUUGCUUCGCUCCAAAUAGCACAACUAUUUUUUUUUUAGGAAAACGCUACUGAUGACACUCUAUCAUCUCUCUUUUUUUUAGUCAUUUUUUAUGUAUUUUUAAUAUGAAACUCAUUGUGAUCUUGGGAGCUAAAAGACAAAAAGAACAUAAAAUUGGAAAUCUCAAGAAGCACAAAUCAGGCGCCGAUUUCAUACAAAUCGGGCACCGAUUUCAAGGCCAUGACGACCAUUUUGUUUCAACAAUUUUAAGCCGCCAAUUUUCACAAAUUGGGCGCCGAUUUCCCAGGAGUGGGGAACACAUUUUUUUAUUUAUUGAGAUUUCGGUGGCCGAUUUUACACCUUUGAUGGCCGAUUUUACAUGUGGCUAUACAAGGAACACGAAUUUUCUGAAGGUCAAAAUUUUAGAGAGAAAAGGCAUAUUUUGGAGCUGAAGCACUAAAGAUCUGGUGGGCGACCAUCAAAACUCAUAGUCAGUUAUUCAAUACAUGUAUGAAUCUUUACUUUUGCAUUAGUUAUCUUGUACUUUAGCUAUGAGUAACUAAUCUCCUUGUAGUUGAGACUUAGUGAAUCUGAUGUAACUCUAUGGAAACCUAAUUUGUAUGAACUCUCUUGAAUAUUAAUGAAAGACUAGUUUAAUUCAUAUUACCUUGUGUUUAAUGUUGUUUUAUGUUUAUUAUUGACUACUAGCACUAGCAUCGUGAAUGUGCAAAUUGAUCUUAAAACUUGAAUGACCACUAGCCUUGGCUUUUGACUCUGAUCUAGGUAAUAGGUUUAACCUAAGUAAUUAAGUUAGAGAUAGAAAAUUAUUAGGCUAUGACUCAUGGAUUAACGGACUGUUAAAACCUCCAAGAGUCUUGAAUUCACUUAAGAGAUUAAGGGAUUGUCACUCGCGGAGAGAGUUCUAGGUCAAGAGAUUGAGUAGAAUUAUCUUGUUAAUUUGUCGUUAAAUUAUAUGAACAUUGAUUGAAUUGGGGUGCAAAUUACCGUAGAAGAACAUUAGAGGAUUUGAAGAUCUUAACCAUAUUUUUCUCAUUAAUUUCUAAAACCAACUUUUACCGUCUUUACACAGUUUAUGUUACAAAUACCAACUCGACUGCCUAGGGCAACCUAAAAUUUAAUACAUCCUUUUUAUAAUGAAAUUGCUAAGUAGAAGUUAACAACGGUCCUCGUUCCCAAAAAAAACAACGGUCCUCGUGGAUACGAUCUUUAAUAUUACUUCGAUUAUUUUGGUACACUUGCCUAAAUCCUAUCAGCUACUUUACUUACAGCGAAAAAGUUAUAGCACCCAUGAUUUCAAUGCAGCGGACAAUCCAACGGCUGGAAAUAAUUCAUGAAAAAUUUGGGAUGUCUUUUCUCCGGGACAAAUAGCAUAGCUCAUUUUUGUAACAUCAAGAGAAAGGUGACGCCGGUAUCAUCUUAGGCUUAUGUUUUGCAAGCCUGCAACAUAUAUACAUUCACCUUUGACAAUGGCAACUCACAAGUGAUAGCCAUGAUUCGAGUUUUUAGGAGAGAGGAGAGAUUAUCUUUUUAAAAUUUUAUUGCUCUGUCAAAUUUUUUUUUAAAUUAAUUUAAAAUCUCAAUAUUAUCUAGUAACAACAUUUAUUAUUAUUAGGUUAUAUUAUCUUUGUAACAACUUUUAUUAUUAUUAGGUUAUAUUAUCUUGUAACAACUUUUAUUAUUAAUAGGUUAUAUUAUCCUUCUAAUAACUUUUGUUAUUGUUGUUAUUAGGUUAUCCAUCACUCUUAUUUGUUAUUUCCCAUAAAAUCCACUCUUCCAAUCCUACUGCUUCUUUGAUGCCGCCAACCGUUACUUGAAACUUCCUCUAGCGUGAACCGUGAGUAAUCCAUUAUUUUAUCGUCUACGUUGUGUUAUUAUCGAUUACAUCGUUAUUGUUUCAUUACUUUAUUCUUCUUAUUUGUGUUAUUUACCCGUAUUUGAGGGGAGAUGAGUGUAUUUUCCCUUAAAAACUAAAAAGUCCCCCGUUCAUUUAUAAAGGGUAGGUUGUUUUCUUUUUUGAUAAGAAAAAGGGUAGGUUCUUCAAAAUCUAAACCAACAAACUCACGGAAAAUAUAUAGUCCUUCCUUUCUCUUUCUCAAUAACACAAAUUAAAUAGCAUAUAUAUCGAUCUUUUCCCUGUUUUAGCUUCUUUCCUCCCAUUACACCAUAGCUCCAACUCAGCCGCACAUGCAUCACACUCACGCCCCCAUCUUCAUUAGUGAUGAGUCCUUUCUAUUAUUUUGCCAUGGUCCUCAUAGCAUCGGUUGUGUUGUAUUUCCUCAUCUUUUAUUUUGACGGGCAGGCGCACGUCGUGGCUGGGCAGACGCACGUCGUCCACAACUUAGACAAGACGAUUAUAAACACCAUCCUCGUUUCCAUCUACACGGCUCAGUAUGCACAAGAAGAAUCUACGUGUGAAUGUAUCAUUUGUUUAGAUGAAUUUGAAGACAAUGAUCGCCUUGGUACCCUCUCUAUUUGUUAUCACACAUUUCAUCUCGAUUGUAUUGAGGUUUGGCUUCGUAAAAACCCCAAUUGUCCUCUGUGUCGCUCUAACUGUUCUCUCAAUCUCUCUAUGAUUAUAGAUGUGACACAGAGGUCACUCUCCACUCCCCAGUAACUUAGAAAAGGUGUAAGGAUUUAGUUAUGUUAUAAGUUAUUAAUGCUUCAUAGGUAGUCUAGUUUCUCCUUAAAAAAAAAAGUAGUCUAUUUAUACUUUUUCAUUUUUUUUUUUUUUGUAUCUUUCAGUUCUGUUGAAUUUUUUUAUGUUUAUAUCAAAUAGGAUCAAUUACAAAUUUAUUGGACAAUAUUUUGGGUUUACCCGACAUCUCUUUCUAUUAUCGACAUCUCCUACUAUUAACAACUUCAUGUUGGAACAUUGGUGGGAAAAUAAAGAGUGAACAACUUUUUCAGACCAUUAUAAUACCUUUAAACAAAUUUUUUUAUAAUAUUAUAUUGUUGAUGUUAUUAAAAAAGAUAAGAAUUUUUAAUAUAUUUGUUAUAUAUUAUUAUUAUUAUUGUCAUUAAAAAAGAUAAAUAUGGUUUGUUGAAUUUGUUACAUUUGAAAAUUACAAAUAUCUAUAUUUAUAUUUAUAGUUUUAAUAUAUAUAUAUAUAUAUAUAUAUAUAUAAUAGUGUAAUCUAUACUAUAUAUAAAGGAAAAGGAGAAAACUUAGGUACAAUUCCUUAUGUGCUUUUCGUAUGGUUCUUAACUAAAAAUACUUUUUUUUUUUGGAGAGAAAUGAUAUUUGUACAACUAUUUUUGUACAACUUUCUCUCUCAUACUCACAUUAUCUUCUUAUUCUCUCUCUUCCUUUUUCUCUCUCUAUUGUUUUUUACCAAUGAAAAGAGAGCACAACAAGAUUGUCCCAAAAGUUGUAGCAAACAAGUUGUUCAAAUAUCAUUACUCUUUUUUGGAUAUAACAAACUUUGAGAAAAUUAUGGAUUUGAGAAAAUCAUGGUGAAUUUAGUUAAAAACCAUACGAAAAACACAUAAGAAAUUGUACCUAAGUUUUCUCCUAAAGGAAACUAUCCCUUUCAGCACACUUUUGGGUUGGACUUUUCUUUCCAAAAAUACCCUUGAUUUUAAAUUUUAAUUUUAAAUACAAAUAACACAUGUGACAAAUAUAUAACAAUAAAUUUAAUUUAAGGAGAAAACUUACACACAGUUCCUUAUGAACUGUUCUUACUGUUAGCCAAUUAUAAAAUAACACAUGGAUUACUAAUCCAUGUCACUAAUCGUCCCCAUUAACCAUCUUUUACCUCCGUAACCACAGAUCAAACUCACAAAAAACUAGCACAAAACAAAAACUCAUGUUACUUUUUUAUCAGCCGUUUUUAUGUUGUACAUAUGUGUUUCCCUAAAAAAAAAAUGUUGUAGUGUUGUUCCCCUCAAUACUGCCGACAAAGAUUGUCAAAUAUUUUCAUACCCCUUAAACAAAAAACAGUAUUUAGAUAUUAUUUUAUUAAUAUUAUUAUUUUAUUUUAUUAAUAUAAGUUAUUUUCCUUUAGCCUUUGAUCAAUUGUAACAAACAUAAGCAAAAAAUAAUGGUAAAAAUUGGAAUUUAAAUCCUCUAAAAAAAAUUAGUAACAAACAAGAGCAAAAAAUAAUGUUAAAGACUGGACUUUAAAUCCUCUAAAAAAAAGACUAGUAACAAACGUGAGCAAAAAAUAUUUUUCAAGAUUGGACUUUAAAUCCUCUAAAAAAAGAUUAGUAACAAACAUGAGCAAAAAAUAAUGUUAAAGAUUGAACUUUAAAUCCUCUACAAAAAAUAUUAGUAACAAAAGUGAGCAAAAAAUAAUGUUAAAGAUUGGACUUUAAAUCCUCUAAAAAAGGAUUAGUAACAAACUUAAGCAAAUAAUAACGUUAAAGAUUGAACUUUAGAUACUCUAAAAAAAGAUUAGUAACAAACGUGAGCAAAAAAUAAUGUUGAAGAUUGAACUUUAAAUACUCUAAAAAAAGAUUAGCGACAAACGUGAGCAAAAAAUAAUGUUAAAGAUUGGACUUUAAAUCUUAAAAAAAAAAAAAAAACAUUAGUAACAAACGUGAGCCAUAAUUACACCUACAAAUGAUGAUGUUCAAAAAUUGAAUGACAUAAUUAUCAAUCAGUUUCCAGGAGAAGAACAUAAUUUGUUGUUAUUUGACGAGGUUGAAGGGAUACUCAUAACUUAUAUCAACAGGAACUCUUAAACUCAAUUGCUCAAGGAAGUAUCCCACCACAUAUUUUAAAGGUAAAAAAAGGUGCACCUUUGAUGUUAUUGCCAAACAUAGAUCCUAGAUAUGUCCUGUGUAAUGGGACACGAUUGUUAUGUCGUGGUUUAUUUAAGAAUAUGUUGGAUGUGGAAAUCAUAACAGGAAGCAAUGCAUGAAAAAGAGCAUUCUUGUCCAGAAUUAAAUUAAAAACAAAUGCGAGUUCAGGACUUCCCUUUGUGCUUAGUAGAAAACAGUUUCCCGUUAGACUAAGUUUUGCUAUUACCAUAAAUAAGUCACAAGGGCAUACCAUUCCUAAUGUCGGAGUCUAUCUUCCCCGACAUGUUUUCAGCCAUGAUCAAUUAUAUGUAGCUUUAUCAAGAGGAGUUUCUCAAAGUUCAACAAAAGUUCUCAUUAAAGGAGGGAAAAUAGAAGGAGAAGAUGGAGACUUUACAAAAAAUUUGGUUUUUAAAGAUAUUCUUUUAUUGCAAUCAUAACAAUGUUUCUUUUACAUAACAUGUCAUUUAUACAUUUAUGUUAUGAUGUUACUAAUUACUAUUAGAAUAAACAAUAAAAGAUCAUUAUUUUAUCUUUAUUUUAUAUAUAGGCAAACUAUAAUAUGUUGAGUUCAUAAAUAAUCACAUGCGUUAGCGCAGUAAAAAGAGCGGACAUAUGGGCAUGUGAGUGCCCGUCUUUCUGCUAGUAUAAAGAACGAAAAGAUGGGCAUGUGAGUGCCCGUCUUUUCGCCAGAGAGAAUUGUGGAAAUUCUACGAUGCAAUAUCAACAGCAACUAAUAGUGGUUUUUAUUUUUGGUAUUCGGAAAAGAAAAAAAAUAGGCUUAUUAGAUCGUUUGGUCCCUUAUUUAAUUUCAUGUUUUCAUUUUGAUCCCACAAUUAAUAAAAAUGGUGUUUUAGUCCUUCACCUUUUCCUCUGUUUGUCAAAUAGACGGUUAAGUUUAGCCCAAAUGAUGUUUAUGGUGGACCAACCUUAAGAGUGGUCCACCAUAGAUCCUAUUAAUUAUUUUAAUUUUAACUUUUUGAUUUUUUUUUUAAAAAGAGAACCAUUGGAUUAGGCAAGUCUAUUUUAUCUUACGAUGUACCACCAACACCUAAUUUUUUUCCUUUUCUUCAUCUUCUAUAUUUUCAUCUUCAUCAAUCAUAUUCAUAUUCAUAAGUUCAUACAAACAAACCCAGAAAAAUAAUGGGUAAAAAAAACCCAGAAAAAAAAAAUUAUCAUCAUCAACACUCUAAUCAUCUUUUCUCUCUAAAAAAAAAUAGUUGUGAACAACAUCAACAACAACACAGUUUCAGCAAUCACAGUUUCACAAUCACAGUCUCAAGUUCACAAUCACAGUUUUACAGUCACAGUUUCACAAUCACAGUUUUAACAAAAAUCCAUUUUCCCUUUCAACAUUCUCAGCAUCUUCAUCGCUGACAAGAGAAGACGAAAAAGUGUUUAAAGAGGGGGAAAACGUCGGCGUUACCGGAGUGUGAAGAGAAGAUUCGACAUCGGCGUUGCCUUCAUCGUCGUCUCUCUUCCGUUUCUCAGUGGUUGCUCCUGCGUUUGGGUUUAUGAAGAGAAGAGGUGUUUAGAUAUGUCGAAGAAAUUGGGAGGGGAGAGUGGUGAAGGUGUCGGUUGUGGCUGUUGGAUCGGUGUGGGAUUGGGUUGUUAGGUGGGAAUCGAGGCUGAUUAUUGGUGUUGCGGUGGUUGUGGUGAUCUUGAAUAUCAGAGUCGUCAGUGUAAGGAGGAUUAAGGUGGUGGUUGACGGCAUGCUGACGGUGGUGAUCGAAGUGGUGGUGGUGUUGUUUAUGAGAAGAAGAUUUGUCUGGGUUUAUGAAGAAGGAAUCAUAUCACGUUGGAGAAGAAAAGAAAGAAAGUUGGAUUUUUAAUUUGGCUUUAGGGGUAUUCAAGGUAUUUCACAUUUUUAGCAUUAGUUUAUAAAGAUCAAGAACAAUAAAGUGAAGAUCUAACAGUCCAUUUUAUGAUAAAUAGAUCGAAUGGUUAAAAUUAACAAAAUUAAUAAGGUCUACGAUGGACCACUUUUAAAAUUGGUCCAACAUAGACAUUUGAAGUUAAGUUAACAGUAAGGAUUUAUUUGGCAAACAGAGGAAAAGGUGAGGGACUAAAACGCCAUUUUUAUUAAUUGUGAGACCAAAAUGAAAACAUGAAAUUAAAAAAGGGGGGACCAAACGAUCUAAUAAGCCAAAAAAAUAUUACUAAUAAUAUAUGUCUGUAUCUUUUGGCCCAUAACAUGUCAUUUUUCUCACUAACUAAUUGAGUCGGUUCUACAAAACACUCGUUAGUCCCUACCUAUCCAUUUAACUGGACGGUUUUAAAAAUCUUGUAAUUCGAUUUUUGACUUAAACGUAUCCAUGCUUGAGCCUUCCUCCUUCCAAUCCUCAAGUCGGUUGUUGAGUCUAUUUAUCUAUAUCCAGGGGACUUUGAACAAUUUUAUUGAGUUAUCAGAAAUUCUUUCUCUUUUUUAGCUAGAGGAAUUCUCCAUUUCUUGUAUGUCCCUUUAGUUCUUGUAUGUCUCCACUUCAUUCGAGUGGUCAUAUAUAUUAUCAUAUUAUUAAAGUUGUAUUUCUAGAUAUUGAUCAUACAUUAUAGUUGGACUCAAAAAUUGUUGUAAUUGGGUUGUUUUAUACCGCUAAUGUAAUGGUUGAUAAAACAUCUUAAAGGAAGCGACCCGCGACUCACUCACUCAGUAACAAAUUUGAUGGCUGAAAAUUCUUUUUCAUAAUGAAAUUUAGAAUUCCAACAUACCAACAAUUCAUGUGUUUUUUUUAAUAUUUUUUUCGUCAAGAAGUCUUAGGAUGUAUGUGGAUAAUUGAGGUUUCAACCAACCGAAUUAUGUUUAUGGGACUAACUCAAAUACUUGUCAUAACCCCAAAUAAUAUUCAUUUAGCAACACACUCAUAAAAUAUGUAUAAUUUAAUUAUUUAAAAAAUAUAUUAUUUAAUUUUCUUUUCUUUUUUACAUACUUUUUUUAUUUAUUAUGUAUGUGUGAGUUUUUAAAUAAAGUUUGUUUAGGCUUGUGAGCAAGCAAGUGUAACUUCCUUAGGAUCAGUACCAAUACAAAAUGUAUACAACUAUUUUAAAAAUCACCAAGAAGAAACUGAAACUAAAAUGUAUAGCAACUUUUGUGGAAAAGGGUGCUAGUUGAUAAGUAUAGGUGUGUAGUGGUGGGAGAUUAGGGUCGGUGGUAGGAUAGGUGUUAGUUGGUAAUGGUAUGAAUACUAGUUUUAGGAGGGAUAUUUGGGUCGGAAAUUCAUUGCUUUGCGAUUCAUUCCCUUGCCUCUUCUCUAUUUCCAAGCAAAAAGAGGAUGGUGUUUUUUCUGUUAGAUCAUCCUAUUAGAGGAGGGGAUUCUCCUUGAUGGUGAUUUGGGUAGGGUGGAGAAAUGGGUGUUUGAGUACCUUUGGAAGAGUGUCACCUUUUUUGGACCCUUCUCCUUGAUUGAAUUCCAAUGAGGGAUAACUUUCCAAUUCGGAAUGUCUUACAUCCGGGAAGUGAAAUAAAAUCAAACCAAGUUCAAAAAAUGCCUUUUAGCAUGCAUGCUUAAUUCUUCUACUAAAUUUUAACGUUCAAACCUCAAUUAAGAUUAUUACAUUUUUUUAUUCUUGUAGCUUUCUUCAACUGGAUUUUUUUAUUCUUAGGUUUUCUUUCACUGGAUUUUUUUUUUUGAGGGAAGAUUUUAUUUUUUAUUUUUGUAGGUUUUCUUCCACUCGAUAAUUAUAUUUGAGGUGUAUUGAACAUUAAAUAUAUCACCUCUCUAAAACGAUAUUUGAAUAUUGGUUCACUAUAUUAUUGAAGUUUACUAAACUUUUCGUUAGUUAUUAAAUUUUAUAUGAAUUCUUUUUAACCGAUAGAUAAUUUGAUCAUAUCAAUUUGGAGAUUUGAUGACAAUAUUUCUAUACAAAAACUUGCUGAUUAUUAGUUUUGUAUAUUUUAAAUAUAAUUAUUUAUUUGAAAAAAAUAUAGAACACCAAAUCUAACAAAAUCAAAUUUUCUAUAUUAAAUGUAGUAAUAAAUUUAUAUUCAUAUUUAUUUUUUAUAAGUCUGCCAGAAUCAAAUUGUUUGUAUAAAAUAAAAUAAAAAAUUGUUCUUCACAGAAUAUCUAAAGAAAGUGUGACAUAUAUAAUUGAUCAAAUCAAAUUUUGUAUUUGAUCGGAUCUCGUUGAGUAUUUAUUAACAGCUCAAAUCUUUUAUAAGAUUGAAUCCAAAAAUCUUACAGUCCCCGUUCCUAUAAAAAAAAAAGGGUUGGUUCUUUUCUUUUUUGACACAAAUUAUAGUCUCCUUUCUCUCUCAGUAACACAAACUACGUUGCACACAUAAUGCGAUCCUUUCCCUAUUCUUCUUCCCCUCCCAUGACAACCACAGCUCCAACUCAGCCGCACAUGCAUCACUAUCACCAUCACCAUCACUCCCUAUUUUCUUCACACUUCUUCCCCAUCAUAAUAUUGGUUCUGCUGUUUCUCGUACUACUUAUCCACUGGAUUCUAACUAGCCUUCAAACAAUGCUGAUAAGGCACGAAGAUACGAAUACCUCACGUCACUAUUCUAACGACCAAUUGCAAACACAUGUCGUCCACAACUUAGACGAGUUGGUCAGAAACACCAUCCCCUUCUCUGUCUACACUGCUAAGUAUGCAAACGAAGAAUCUCUACGUGAUUGUGUUAUUUGCUUGGAUGAGUUUGAAGACAAUAAUGACAUUGGUACACUCCCUCUUUGUUCCCACAGCUUCCAUCUCGAAUGCAUUGAAGCUUGGCUUCGUAAAAAACCUAAUUGUCCUCUAUGUCGCUCCAGUUGUCAUCUCAAUCACUCUAUAAUUAUAGAUGUGCCGGAGAGAUCACUCCUCACUCCCCGGUAACUUUGGAAAAGGUUUAUAGUUUAGUUGUGUAGUAGUUCAGUUUAUGCUUUUUCAUGUAUUUUCUGUUUUUUGUUCUACUGAAUUUUGUAUGUUUUAAAUCAAAUAGGAUACCAAUUUAUUUGGGCACUUUAUGUUAUCAACUUCAUGAAUGUUUUUAUGUAUAUUUCUCUAUUUGCAUGCACCUUAGGAAUGGUACUGGUAUUAUCUAUUUGCAAUUUCUAACAUAGCAUUAGUACUAGUACAAGAAAUUUCGUUCAUAAAUUGUAUGACAUUGAAGUACACAUUAAUUACCCCAAAAAGAUAACAAAACAUAGCUUACAAUGAAGCGACAUGCUUGAGAGCCAGAUGAGAAUAAUGCAAUCAAAUGUCCAUAUUACCGAUUACCAUAUACUUUUGUUUUCUAUUGUUGAAAUUUGUUGUAGAUAUAUAUGAUAUGGCUUAAUUAUAUAUAUUGGUACAAAUAACGACGUAGCAUGAAGAAGCUAUAAGAUGAACCGGAGUAAAAGAACGCAUAAUUGAGAGUAUAUAUGAAAACAAUAUGGAAAAGUUAGGUGAAAUUCUAUGGGAACUUCUACGGUACACCUCACAAAUUGAGGUGUAUCGGUACUCUUGAUUCAUAAAUUUAUAAAUUAACAAUCAUUUAUAUUAAAUAAAGAGCUAUUUGUCAAUAUUUAAAUUUUAGGAAAUAUCAUGUCAUAAAAAAAAAAAAAAAAAAAACAUCAUUUCAUUGUUUAUAAGAAUCAUAUUAAAUUUUUAACAUUUUUUCAUAAAAAAUAAUCAAUAAUCUUUGUCACGAGUAGUAAAAAUUUAGAAAAAUUAAAUUUUAUUUCAUUGACACUUUUGGAAAAUAAGAUUUAAUUAUUAUAAUUGUUAAUGAUAAAAAAUAGUUCUUUUUCUUAAAAAAAAAAAAAAAAAACAACUCAUUUAAUUAUUAAUUUAAAAAUUUAGUGUACCGGUACACUUAAAUUGUUGGAUGUACCGUAGAAUUUGCCAAAUUCUAUAGCAAAUAUCUUCAUUAUCUGCGGCAUACAAGCCUAGAAUAUAAGGAAAAUGUAUCCCCAGUUUAAAGGACUAAUGAAUUUUAUUCUAUUUUCUUAAAUUGUAAGAAUAUAAUUGAAUAACCAAUUUAGUAUUUGAAAUUGUAGCUUAGACAAUUUGGUCUUGAAAUUAGUAACAUUCCAAAAUAAGCCAUGAAAUUCAAAACCCUAGAACACAUUAGUCAAUUCAAGACAAUUUCAAUAACUACAAUGACUAAUAAAAAGACUCAUGUGACCGAUGAUUCUUAGUUCCUGAUAUCAAUUAAGAAUUUUAUUGAUUUAAGGGACAAAAUUAUGGGAUGUUUAAAGAUUUUUGGACUAAAAUAUUGUUAGUUGUUCAUGUCUCGAGACCUAAGUAGUUGUCCUAAAGCGGGGCUUUUCCAAAGGUACUCAAACACCUUUCUUCCAACAUCCUUUUGGUUACCCUCCACCACAAACCUCUCUUUUAAUUUAUGAACAAUGAUAUUUGAAGAACCAUUUGUUAACAACUUUUAUGACAACCUCAUUUCUCUCUCUUUUUAUUGGUCAAAAACAAUGGAGAGAGAAAAAUGAAAAAAGAGAGUAAGAAUAUAAUAUGAGUAUGAGAGAGAAAGUUGUCUAAAAAUUGUCACAAAAUGGUUGUACAAAUAUCAUUUCUCUUUAAUUUAAAAGAAAAUAUACGGAGUUAACCUUAAAAUUACCACUCUCCCUCAGACACCACACCACAACCACUUAUCCGCCUCAUACCUUCCAACAAAAGAUUUCGGGGCCUCCCGUAAAUCUUCAGAGAGUUUCCUCCCAAGCAAAAAAUAAAAAAUAAAAACCCUCUCCUCAAGGACCAAGUCCACCUACAAAUAACUCAUUCUCUUACUCACAUCCUCCACCUUUGCAUCCUUGUCUGUCGCUAGAGAGAAUAGACGAGGGUACUACUUGCACAACGGUGAAUUUUCGAACCAACACUCCCUCCAAAAACUAGUCCUCCUUCCAUAUCCCACCUUUAAAUAAGAGUUGUGUUAUUUGAACAUCCAUUUAGAUGACAACUUUUGUGACAACCAAAAUUUUACAAAGAAAAUGAUGUAUUGGCACAAAAAUCAAAGCAAUAGAGAAAGAAAGUAAAAACAUAAUGUGAGUGUGAGAGAGAAAGUUGUCACAAAAGUUGUUGUUCAAAUAUCAUUUCUUUUUAAAUAAAUCUCAGAUUUGAACCAAUCUACCACCUCCCAAACAUGUAAACUAGCAACAUCUUUACACCAGUUGAUGAAAAAUACAGCCAAGAAUCAUACCCAAAAACCCUGUUUCUCAAAAUUCCUUUGUCGUACUUUGCAAUCAGCACCUCCUUCCAUAACAGUUGAUCACAUCGAAGGAGAUGCCAUUUCAACUUUGCUAAUGUUUACCAUUCUAACAUCCUUAACUCCCAUUCUCCCUUUAGCUUUUGGCUGACAAAUUUUCCUCCACUUAACUCAAGCCAAUUUGUUCCCAUUCCCAACUCCACCCCAAAGAAAGUCUCUUUGGAUCCUCACCACUUUCUUAUAAACUCCAACCGACAUUUUCAUGAAUGAAAAGAUAGAAAAUAGGGAUUUAAUUAAGCAUCAUGUUAAUUAAGACAAUCUUACCCCUAAGACUCACAUGCUUAUUUCUUAAGAAUUCAACCUUUUUGAUUUGACAAUUUUUCCAACAUAGGUUCCCAAGUGGCAAGAUUCUUAGGAAUGGUACCGUACCUACGGGUAACCCCAAAUACACAACCAGGUUCUUCCUUACACUACAUUUCGAGAAAUUGCAAGCCAUAAUCAAAACUAUUGUUCAACAUUAACACUGAUCAAACAACUUUUUUAAAAUUCACCUUCAACCCCGAAGCUAUCCCAAAACCACGCUAGAUGACUUUCAAGGUCCAAAAGUUUUCCACGGUUGGUUUUCAUCAAUCCAUCAAACCCCUUGGUCACCAUAAGGAACAAGAAAGGUGCAACGGAUCCCCUUGUUUUAGCCCCCUUUGGAUAUAUAUUUGCUCUCAAAACCCCUCAGCCACCAUAAGGAACAAGAAAGGUGCAAGGGGUCCCCUUAUAUUAGCCCCCUUUGGAUACAAAUUUGCUUUGUUUGACUCUCAUUCGUAAGAAUUGACAUAUCUCCACCAAAGAUGUAAGCUUUCGUCCAACUAAUCCAUUUCGCAUCAAAACCAAACCUUUGUAACAUAUAGUCUAAAACCCCCCAAUCCAUUGAGUUACAAACCUUUUCAAAAUUCACCUUCAAACACCACACAACUCCUCCUAGUUUUCCUUGCCAAGUCCAACACCUCAUUUACCACAACAACAUGACCAACUAAAUUGUGUCCCUAAAGGAACACCAAUUGAGCCAAUGAAAUGAAUGAGUGUAUUCAAAAUUUUAUAGCAAGUCUAACCAUCAACACCUUCGCCAACAAUUUGUACAAGCAAACCAAAAGUAAGAUAAGUUGAAGGUCCAAAAUGGCAAACGGGGACCUUAUAUUGGGAAUAAGAGUAAUAAAGUAAGACAAAAAGUAAUUGGAGAUACAUUCAUUUCCAUGAAAUUGAUCAAACAAAAUGUGAACCUCCUCCUUCAACAAGUACAAAAAUUCCUUCAAAAACACAAAAUUAUGUCCUCCAAACUAUUAUUUAUUUGAAGAAAAAAAUAUCUAACAAAAGCAAUUUUUUUUUCUAACUGAUAGGUAGUUUGAUCAUAUCCAAUUUUCAUUACAAUAUUUUCUAUGCGAAAACUUGCUAAUUAGUUUUUGGAUAUUUUAUAAUAAUUUAUUUGAAAAAAAAAAAAACAAAUCUAACAAAAAUCGAAUCUUCUAUAUUAAAUGCAGUACAUUAAAUGAAGUAAUAUAUUUGUAAUCUAUAUCUAUAUUAUAUAUCUAUAUCUAUACUAUAUAUAUAGAAAAUUAUCUCUUUCAACACUUUUAGGUUGUAUUUUUCUUUCAAAAAAUACCCUCAAUUUUCAAUACAAAUAACACAUGUAACAAAUAAAUAAGAAUAAUUUUUUUUAAUUACAAGGGAUAAAAGAAUACAGGAAAAAAAAAAUCAAAAAAAGGACUAGCCACGAGGGGAAAAAGUUCCCCAAGAAUCAUCCCUAAGGAGAGGCAAAAGAUCGUCAGGAGGGGUGGUAUGGUUAGACAAAGCCGAGUCCAUGCAUGGAAGCUCCCAACUUAGCAAGGAAGUCGGCGCAACGAUUACCCUCGCGAAGAGUAUGCAAGAUAGGAGUGUUCCGAAGCUGAACUAGAUCUUUAAUGUCUUGAAUUAGAGUGGCAUAAAUAAGAAUAAAUUUAAAUAUUAAAACAAAUGUAACAAAUAUGAUAUGAAUAUUUUUUUUUCCUUUAUCAUUUAAAAAGUGUAACAAACUAGGUGAGUAUAUUUAUACUUACUUUUUCAUCAUUCCAAUUAUAUCCUUAAACAACUUUUUCUAUAAUAAAAUUGUUGUUGGUGUCGUUAAAAAAAGAAUUUAGAUUAAUUUUUUUUUCUUACAUUUUAUUACUGUUAGUGUCAUUGAAAUAGAUAAUCAUGGUUAGUUUGAUUUUUUUAUAACUUGAAAGCAACAAACAUUUAUAUUUUAAUUUAGUUUAAAUCAAAAUCAAAAUUUCAUAAAAAAAUAUUGUUCAUAACCUUCAAACGUUAGCGCAAUAAAAAGAGCGGAAAGACGGACACGUGGGUACCCAUCUUUUCGCUAGUACUAUAUAUAAAGAAAACAACCUCUUUUAGCUCUUUUGGGCUGGAUUUUUCUUUUCAAAAUUGCCCUCAAUUUUCAAUACAAAUAACUCAUAAGAAUAAAUUUUAAUAUUAAACAAAAUGUAAGAAACACGAUAUUAAUAUAUAUUUCUAUUUUUUUUCCUUUAUCAUUUAAAAAGUGUAACAAACUAGAUGAGUAUAUUUAUACUUACUUUUUAUUAUCUCAAGUAUACCCUUAAACAACUUUUUCUAUAAAGAUUGUUGUUGGUGUCAUUAAAAAAAGGAAUUUAGAUUAUAUUUUUUGUUAUAUUAUUGGUGUCAUUGAAAUAGAUAAUCAAGGUUAGUUUGGUUUGUUAUAACUUGAAAGCAACAAACAUUUAUAUUUUUAGUUUUAAUCAAAAUCAAAAUUUCAUAAAAAAAAUAUAUCAUUCAUAAUUUUCAAACAUUAGCACAAUAAAAAGAACGGAAAGUCGGUCACGUGAAUGUCGUCUUUUUACUAGUAUAUAUAAAGAAAAUGACACGUUUCGGCUCUUUUGGACUAUUUUUUUCGCUUUCCAAAAUUACCUUCAACUUUCAUUACAAAUAGCACAUAUAACAAAUAAAUAAAAGUAAGUUCAAAUAUUAAAAUAAAAGUGUAACAAACACAAUAUGAAUAUAUGAUGAGUAUAUUUAUACUUAAUUUUCAUUAUCCAAAUUAUACCCUUAAACAAUUUUUUCUAUAGUAAAGAUUGUUGUUAGUGUCAUUAAAAAAAUUAGAAUUAAGAUUAUAUUUUUUUGUUAUAUUAUUGAUGUCAUUGAAAUAGAUAAUCAUGGUUAGUUUGAAGCCAAAAAACAUUUAUAUUCAAGGCUCUUUUCUUAUUUUUAUAUUUUUUUUAAAGAUGGCUUUUUUUUUUUUUUGGUCACUAGAAGGCUCUUUUCUUAUUUGACAAGAAAAGGGUAGGUUUUUAGAAAUAUAAACUAACAGACUCACCAAAAAAUAUAUAUUAGUCCCCUCUCCCUCUCUCUCUCAGUAACAAAAAUUACAUCGCACGUAAUGCGAUCCUUUCCCUAUUCUCCCCCUCCCAUGACGACCAUAGCUCCAACUCAGCCGCACAUGGAACAGUAUCACCAUCACGCCUCAUCUCCUUCAUUAAUUAUGAAUCCUUUUAUUUUUUUUCCCAUGCUCUUCGUAGGGGUGGUUCUGGUGAAGAUCCUGAUGAAAAUCCUCUUCUUAAGCAUCAAAUAUUGGUGUACAACUCGCCAUGGAACAAUGGUGGAGGCCAGGCGCACGCACGUCAUUCACAACUUAGACGAGUCCGUUAUAAACACCGCCGUCAUCCUCUCCUCCGUCUACAACGCUAAAUAUGCACAAGAAGAAUUUCAACGUGAUUGUGUUAUUUGCUUGAAUGAAUUUGAAGACAAUGAUACCAUUGGAACGCUCCCUCUUUGUUCCCAGAGUUUCCAUCUCCGUUGCAUUCAAGAUUGGCUUCCUAAACAACCUAAUUGUCCUCUAUGUCGCUCCAGCUGUCUUCUCAAUACUCAAGUGCUCUCUGUAAUUAAUUAUAAAUGUGACGUAGAGAACCCUUCCCAAGGGUUUAGGGUUUAGUUGUAUGUUAGUUACUAAUGCUUUAUAAUUAGUUAAGUUGUUUAUGUUUUUUCGUUUUCGUUAAAAAUUAUUAAUUGAUGUGGCAAUUUUUAGUGUUUCUAUUGGUUGCAUGUGUAAAAUUGUUUUGAGGUGUCAACUUACUCUAAUUAUAUUCUUAUAAUUAAACUACAUAGCAUAAAGAAGCUAUAAAAUCUUUUAAAAUAAAAAAUAAAAAGAAAAAAUAAAUAAAUAAAUAAAUAAAAGAAAACUAUAAGAUGAACGGGUGAAAAUUAAAGGAACACAAUUGGAAGUAUAUCUAUCUGUAUAUGUGAAAAGUUAGGUAAAAUUCUUUAGCAAAUAUAUCAUCAGCCUACAAGCCUAGAACAUAUGGAGUUUGAGCCAAACCCUUACUAUAUUAUGAAAUGUCAUAUUAAAUGAGCUACGUUUACGAGAUAUUUGUGUUUUUUUUCAAAUAAUCUAAUGAUUAAAAGUUCUCCUUUUAAAAAGAAUAAAUGAGGUGUUUAGGGUUUGAACCUCAACACCCUGCAUAUAAUAUAUAAUAUCAAUAGAAACUGAGUUAAACUCGGACAUCAUCCUUUUUUAUUUUUUUUGUAGCCUAGUGACUAGAUUCACACGCAUUAUGUGUGAAGAAGUGGGGAAUUCAGAGUUCGAACACCAUUCUUUUAAUGGCUGUAGAACAAGCCCGGAGUGAGUCAUUGCUAUGCUGACUACCGACUUCUCCAACCAUGUCAAAGUGGCCAAAGGGAACCCAAAGUGAGAGUUGUCCUAAUCAUACAUGGACACCUAUUCUUUUAACACAGUAUUGUUUAUACAUAUUGAAUAGAAACUUACUAAAAAUAUUUUCAAAGAAAAAAGAAAGAAAAAGAAAUGAAAAAAUAAAAACAGUUAACGUGACGUACCACCAACGUUAUUAAUAAUAUUAUCAUUAUAGCAUGAAUCAUUAUUGAUCCAAUCUUUGAAAAAAGAUACACAAGGCACAAGCUAACAGUGCGUGACAGAGAGGAGAAAAUGGCGACAACAGUAGCAAGUAGAGAAUUAUUCAUAGAUGGAGAGUGGAGAGCUCCUAUCCUCAACAAAAGGAUUCCAAUAAUCAAUCCCUCCAAUGAAAACAUCAUAGGUCCUUUGUUUAGUCCCUGUCAUCUUGUCUUGUUAGUUUUUAAUGUUUCUGGUCUUUUAUCAAGUAUGAUAUGAUAAUAACUACUUCUAUGUUGUGGCAUUAUAUGAAUGGUUGACACAAAUGCAGGGGAUAUACCAGCUGCUACUAAGGAAGAUGUUGACCUUGCUGUUGAUGCUGCUAAAAGAGCCAUUUCAAGGAACAAAGGUAAAGAUUGGUCCACUGCUUCUGGUUCUGUUCGUGCUGGCUAUCUUCGAGCAAUCGCUUCAAAGGUUCUAAUUUCUUUUCUAGUUUUGCUCUUGAUGGAUUAAAGGGACUAAUAAACUUUAUUCUAUUUUUUUAAGUAUAAGAUUGUAAUUUUGUCAAAAUAAAAAGUAUAAGAUUAUAACUGAAUCGUCUAUGAAAUUGAAUGUUGCACAAUUUGGUCUUGAAAUUAAUAAAAUUCCAAAAUAGUCUAUGAAAUUGGAAAUCGUAGAUCACAUUGGUCCAUUCCAGACAAUUUCAGUAACUAAAUUGACUAAGGAAAAAGACUCAUGUAAUAGAUGAGUCUUGAAAUAAAAAGUAGAUCACGUUAGUCCGUUCGAGAUAAUUUCAGUAACUAAAUUGACUAACGAAAAAGACUUGUGGGAUCGAUGAUUUUAAAUUUCUAAGAUCACUUCAGAAUUUUGUUCAUUUGAGGGACCAUGUUAUGGGAUGCUUACAAUUUCAGGACUAAAACUGUUGCUAGUUAGUUAUUUUAUUUACUGUUUGAUUAAUGUAGUUGUGUAUGUCUUCAGACCUGAUUGGUUGUCCUUUUUCUUUUCCAUUCUCACAGAUAACUGAGAAAAAGAAUGAACUAGGCAAGCUUGAAUCAAUUGAUUGUGGAAAGCCACUGGAUGAAGCACUAGCGGAUCUGGUAAUUAUUAUUCGACUGGAAAAACAUGUUGCCUUACUUCUUUUUUUUCUUUUUUGCUUACUUGGACUCUGCUCUGGUUUGAUUAUAUAGGAUGAUGUUAUUAGUUGUUUUGAGUACUAUGCUGGGCUUGCUGAAGGGUUAGAUGCAAAGCAAAAGGCUCCUGUAUCCCUUCCUAUGGAUACCUUUAAGAGCCAUGUUCUGAAGGAGCCUAUUGGUGUUGUUGCAUUAAUUACUCCAUGGUAUCUGCUUUUUUCUUCAACUUGUUGUUUAUGAAUUCUUUUUCAAUGAAACUAUCUGGUUUGAUGAUCUAUUUGGUAGACUCAUUAAAUGAUGUAACUGAUUUUAUUAUAUAUAGGAACUAUCCUCUCUUAAUGGCGACUUGGAAAAUUGCUCCAGCUCUGGCUGCUGGUUGUGCUGCAAUAUUGAAGCCGUCUGAAUUGGCAUCUGUGUAUGUUCUCAUCAAUUAUUACAAACUAGAGUACAAUCUGUUACGUUUAUUUAUCGUUUUGUCUUAUCGUUUACAAUUUUAGGACCUGUUUGGAGUUGGGCGAAAUAUGCAAAGAAGUUGGCCUUCCUCCUGGUGUUUUUAAUAUUGUUACUGGAUUAGGCCAUGAAGCCGGUGCUUCUUUGGCAUCCCAUCCCGAUGUUGAUAAGGUUUGAACUUUGAUAUUUCAAAUUAUUUUAGUCAUUAAUUAAUGGAAUCAAAACUAUAAGAAGCUAGAUCUUGGUCUAUAUUAUCUCGCAAGUGUUGUUAUCAUGUUGUCUUUAAGCUUUCUAAGAUAUUGUACCAUUGUGCGCAUUAUUCGAUAGAUUUCCUUUACCGGUAGCUCUGCAACUGGGAGUAAGAUUAUGACAGCUGCGGCACAGCUAAUCAAGGUAUUUUUAAGCAUGAUUAUCUACAAAUUACUGUCAUUUCAAUGAAUUCAUGCAAUAUCAAAUUGUGUUUUCUUGUUUGCAGCCUGUUUCACUAGAGCUUGGUGGAAAGAGCCCGAUAGUUGUUUUUGAGGAUGUUGAUCUUGAUAAGGGUUGGUGUGCCUUCUCAAAUAUGUCUAAUUUGUGGAAUCACAUUUUAUGAACAAUAUUUUAAUUUCUUGCAAUGUGAAUUUUGGGUAUCCGUAACCUAUGGCGUAUUGGUGUGAUCCAAAACAUUUGCUCAUAUGCUGUUUAUAGUUUAUUGAUUUGUUCUCCAUUAUUAAACAGUUGCUGAAUGGACCAUCUUUGGCUGCUUCUUUACAAAUGGUCAGAUAUGCAGUGCAACAUCUCGCCUUAUUGUGCAUGUAAGUUUAAUAGAGACUCAAAUUCCCCAUUUCAUCAAUAGUACAUGUUCAUGUUCAUAAAAAUGAAUUUGUAACUUUUCUUUUUGUAUAAAUCGGAAGGUCCAGAUUUCCUUUGACUGUGCUAGAAGUAACAUGUGUCUGAAAACCUUUUACCAAUUCUAUUAUUGGCUUUGAUUUAAAAAAUAAAUAAAUAAAAUGAUAAAGUGAAGCACUUAUACUGUUCCAGGAAAGCAUAGCCGUAGAAUUUGUGAGUAAACUUGUGAAAUGGGCUGAAAACAUAAAAAUUUCGGAUCCGUUGGAAAAAGGUUGCAGGCUAGGCCCUAUUGUCAGUGAAGCACAGGUAUGUUUGCUGUCUAUCACUUCUGUAUAUACACCAGAUAUGUGCUUAACUUACCACUUGCUGUUAAAAUCAUACAUUAGUUAUUGGUGGAGAGAUUGAAAGCGGCAAUUGAGUCUUACUUAUCGUAUCUAUAUGCAAAGAAACCUUGUUCCAUUUACUCUCAUAAGAUUUUUGGUUUAAGACGUUGUUUGUUGUCGUUAUCGUAUCUAUAUGCAAAAGGACGUUUUUAAUCAAUGGCUUUAGUUUGGUUAAAACAUUCAGUUGAUACAUAAUCCGAAAAAUCUACUGCUAGCAUGGACUUACUGUAUUUGUCUUGUGUUUGUUUUGUUCCAAGGCUUUCUCUGUUAUCCAAAAUGAAAACGUGUAAUAGUGUGAUAUCAGUGAUUAUGAUCCAAGUUGCAUGCAAUGUGUAGUGAUACAAAGUUUUGCGUAGUUACCAUGAUUUAGCUUUCUUUCUGACCAUGCAAUUUAAAAACAUUAAGAUUGAUUCAGCAUUUAUUUGCUUUGAACCAAGACAAUACAACAUCUAAUAUUUGGGUUACAUAUGAUUCAGUAUAAGAAAGUGUUAAAUUUUAUCUCAACGGCUAAGAGUGAAGGUGCAACAAUUUUGACUGGUGGGCGUCGCCCAGAGGUAUGAGUAUACCCUGAGUAUGUGUGUUCGCUUCUGUUUUUCUGCAUUUUUCAUGAGAAUUAAUGUCUCAAAAUUCGACGGCAGCAUUUGAAAAAGGGAUACUUUGUUGAACCAACCAUCGUAACCGAUGUGACUACCUCGAUGCAAAUUUGGAGAGAAGAAGUUUUUGGUCCUGUGCUCUCUGUAAAAACAUUUAGCACUGAGGAAGAAGCAAUUGAUCUAGCGAAUGACACUCAGUGAGUUGAUGAACUGAUAUUAAUUUCAUUUCUAAACCACUUUUUUCUUCCCUUGUGGAUUGAUGUCAAAGCCAAAAAUUUGAUAUUUCACAGCUAUGGCUUGGGGUCUGCUGUAAUGUCAAACGAUUUAGAAAAAUGUGAGCGCGUAUCUAAGGUGAGACUAAUCCAUACUAUCAUAAAAUAAAAAAUAAAUAAAAAAUGAUUUAUUUGGUUUAAAUACUUACUUAUAUUGAUUAUUCUGCAGGCUCUUCAAGCUGGAAUUGUAUGGAUCAAUUGUGCUCAACCAAGCUUCAUUCAAGCUCCAUGGGGAGGCAUUAAACGUAGCGGUUUUGGUCGUGAAUUAGGAGAAUGGUAUGACUAAUCUUGUUUCUUAAAAUCUCCAAAAUACCUUUAAUUCCCCCUCUAAUAUUCUCAAAUAUGAAAAUCUGAGAAUUAGAGUCUGAAAUUUUGUCGUUGUUUGUCAUUCAGGGGACUUGAUAACUACUUGAGUGUGAAGCAAGUUACCAGAUACAUAUCUAAUGAACAGUGGGGCUGGUAUCAAUCUCCUUCAAAGCUGUGAUAGUUAACCAUGUAAAGUGAUGAUAGAUUUGAUUUCUGAAGUCUGGCAUCGAAUAAGGUGUGAUGUGGUUGACACCAAGUUAUUAUUAUCUUAAGUUGUUGGAACAUAUUGUACUAUGUUACGUAUAAUAAUAUGCAGACAAUAUUGUUGUGAAAUAGGGCCAUGUUGCUUUCGUUGAUGUUAUGAUUUGAUAUAGUUUGAGAAGAGUGCAAUAAGUAUAGAAACUGAAAUGCUAGGUAGCACCGUAGCAAGUCACCUAUUAACGUGUUAGUACUUGAUUAUUAAAUCAUAUAAGUUACUUCUAGAGUGUUUGGUUGUGUGUUUGGUUUAGGCAACCGCGCGUUUGGGAUCCUUUUUGCCGUAGAAACAAGAAGCUGGUAACAGUAGCUUCUGAAGAAACACACAUCUACUGCCUCUUUGACGUGAAAACAAACAGAGGUUCAUAAUCCACAUCUCUGUUGUAACACAGUGAUAAUUAUUAAAAUACCUAAUAAAUAAAUGUAUGUACGUACUUUCUUCAAUCACUUUUUUUCAAUAAAACCUUCCUUCCAUUAUUUAUGUUUAAUUUGUUUAUCAUUCUUGGCUACAACUGCUUGCUUAUUUUUUUAUCAAAAGAUCAUUGUCAGGGUCAUCGUCUACUUGUGUUUUUCAUGAAAAGAUAGCCUUCAGUAUACAGUCUUGGUAUUAACGAAUUUGAAGUUCAUGCUAUGCAUACAAAUUUAGUGUUUGUUCGAGAAAACAAAAAAAAUCACAUUGACAAGAAUGUCCAAUGGAUCAAGACCUAAUAGACAAUAUAGAAACUCCCAAACAAAUGAGGGUCUCAUUGUACUGCCCGAAAUUGCUCAACCUAUCGGAAUGUAACUACAAAGUACGUGUUUUUUUUUGCUUGCAAACCCUAUCGGAACGUAGCUUCUCAUAGGUGUUUUCUAUAAAUUUUAAGCAAUACAGGGGCUCUUCAACAAUUUCCAACUUAAGAUGGAUGAGACCUAUAUAUGGGAUAUGCUUGAGUCUGCAGAAGGUGAGGAGCAAGAAAGCCAUGAGUACGUUCUGAAUGAGAACACAGCAAACCAUGACGAGUCAAAGGAGGUUGGUAAGGAGACAAACUUUGGAUCGCUGCUUAGUUUGAGCGUCAUCGAACCACCACUAGAGCAAUCACAUCAGGAAUUUCAUGUGACGCCAUUCACAAAAUGCAUGGUACAAAAAUCUGCAGGUCACAAUGAAUCAUGAAUCGGUGGUAGUGUUUUAGACAAUCAUCGAUGCAGCAACUAAGACACAAAUAUGUGAGAAGGAGAGAAGGAUUGUUCCCGAUCUGCACCCUCCACCGGAGACACCAGAUCCGCCUUCAUCACAAUCACCACCACCAGAGUCGCUAGACUCUAGUCAACCUGCAACAGAUCUCCAACAGAGAGAACCGCCACCCAAACCACAAGAUUGGUUGUCUUCAUAUGCAACAAGAGACAGGCCCCGAUCCAAGGAGGAAGGGAAAGAGCCAACAAUUAAUACUCAGCACAUACCACCGCCGCUGAAAUGGCCGGAACCGCCUGACAUCAACCAACUUGCAGUGGUUCGACCGCUACCAACGACGAGCAACGCACUUGCAACUGAACGGUUACAUUUCAACGUCGCUUCAGUUGGGAAGGAUUGUGAGGUCAAAAGGAUAACAUGGUCAAUUGUUAAGGUUGGUAUCUCUUUUAAUCUAAUGUAUCAGACCCAAGUUAUUUUUUGUUUGGUAUGGAAGGUAUUAGAAAUGUGGACAGGAAUAGAGUUACUAGGUUCGGUUCAAUUUAAUGAUAGCCAUUGGAUUAUGAAAAAGUGGGUGGCUAUAGUAGAUGAUACAAACAAGAAGGAGAAAAACAGUGGAACAGAUUGGUCAGGUUGUAUGUUGGAUCUAACAAUAAACCUAGUGGGUCAGGCACAAAACAAUUCUAGUAAGUGGGUGAGAGAAAUUAAAAGGUGGAGCAAUGUAGAGUCAGCAGAUUCCAAAAAUAGCAUAAAACAUAGACAACCCUAUGGUUGUCAUUUAGAGGUUUUUGCAUCAAACCUUUUGAGACAAUCAUUGGUGAUUCAUCCUUCAGUCAUAAAGAUGCUAUUGAUGAAGGGGCUCUUAAAGGAUAACAUACGUACAAAUAUUCUCAAGCACACUAUUAGAUCAAACAGGAAUUCCAUCUCAAGGUCAUUGGAGCAGCCCAUAUCUGAUUGCUGAUAAGUUUAUCCCAGUGAAAGGUGAAGGAGUUACUAAGUACAACAAAGUGGUUUUAUCUAUAUUUUUGAAGACACGCGUAAUUCUUUUUAUAAGCAGAAGGAACAUGGAAGUGGAAAGGGAAUUAUCAUUGUCAUCUACUCUUAAUAUUGAGAUCUCUUCAAUGGUGGUGAUGGCUUUGAUUGAUGAUGUAUUAGGCCCUUGGCAUGUGAAAUACAUUAGUUGUCGGUUGUCAACCAAUUACAAUGGGAGUUUAAUUGUGUGGAUGACUCGAUCACUUGAAAUGGGCUUGUCCGGCUCCCAUCAAUGGGAUCCUGGAGGAAAUGACUCGGUUUUCAAACACUACAGCACAAUGAGAGUUUUUGGGGAAUUCAUUUAUCAGGAAAUUCAAUGUCUCAUCGCCAUUGUCCUAGUUGUCGCCUUACUUUGUGCUGUAGCAACAGUUGUCUUGCUGAAAUUGUUCAUGUUCAAUUGCUUGGGUGACUUGCAAGCUACUUGUGUCAAGGCUUCUCUAUGACAAAAUGUACUCAAACCAAUUCUCUCAUCUCAACCUUGAGGACACGGCUGUUUUUCUAGUGGUCGGUAGUACUUUGUCACUCUACUUCAAGUUAUGGGAUCCUGGUGGACACUUAUGUUAUCCUUCAACUUGAGGACAAGGUGAAUCUUUAGGGGGGGAGUAUUGUUAGAUAUAGGACUCCUAAGUGCAUAAGUUAUAAAAUAUUAGUUGUUUAUUUAAUAUAUCAAUUAGUAAUUGUUACAUAGUAACUGUUAUCUGCAGAACUUCUAUGUAACUGCUACAGUGAGUUACUACUAUAAAUAGGAUAUUUUUACGGUACAUUUACAAAAUGAGGUGUACCGAUACUCUUUCUUCAUAAUUUUAUAAAUUAACGAUCGUUUUUUAUGAAAUAAAUAAUUAUUUAUCAAUAUUUAUAUUUUAUAGAACAUCAUUCAUAAGAAAAAAACAUCAGUUCAUUGUUUAUAAGAAUCAUAGUAAUUUUUUUAUAUAUUAUCGUAAAAUAUAAUCAAUAUUCUCAAUUAUGAGUGCUAAAAAUUCAAAAAAAAACAAACGUUAACACUUUUGAUGAAUAAGAUUUAGUUAUUAUAAAAUAAAUGAUAGAAAAUAAUAUUUUUCUUCAAAAAACAACUCAUUUAACCAUUAAUUUAACGAGUGAGUGUACCGGUACGUUCCAAUAUAUUGGAUGUACCAUAGAAUUUGUCCUAUAAAUAAAGAUGUAGAGGAAAAGGGUGGGCAUUGGAUAUUUUGUAUGUGGGUUGUUGUGAAGCCCCGAUACUUCAAAAUGGAUGACGUACCGUAUCCCCUGCGUAUCCUGCACCGAUACCUGCCCGAUACUUCCCGAUACGUAUCGGGAGAGUAUCCAAAUAUUAAAUUUUAUUUUUUAAGAAAAUAAUUUUCCGAUACAUCCCGAUACGCACGGAUACUUGUGUUUUUUUAUAUUAUUUUGAUUUAUGUGCUUUUUUUUGUAAAAAAUAAGAAGAAUAAAAACAUUAUAUUACUAUAAUAUAUAUACAUUUCCUUUAUCUUUCUUUGGUGCGAGUACGAUCCACACCAUACCACAGAAACAAUUUCAUCUUCCCCAUUUUAAAAAAUUAGGGUUUCAACUUUUUUUUCUAAAAUGGUCGCCUUCCACUUUGGAUAUAGUGCUUCUUUUUUGGAUCGAUAUAGUAUAACAUUAACAAUGUUCCUUUUGGAUAUAGUAUAACAUUGAUAUGACACUGGUGCUCUUUUUGGUAUAUUUUACGUAUGUAAUUGACUAAUCAUCAUUCUCUUAAUCGUCAAUAUUAUUUAUAUUUAUGUUAAUGUGCUACGAGUCUAGUUUCUUGUGUUUGUUAAUAUAUUUGCAUAUUAAAAAAAGAUUAUAAUUAUAUUAUACAUUUAAUUAUAUAAUUUUUUUAUUAACGUAUCCCAGCCGUAUCGUAUCUUAAUUUUUAAAAUUUUCCCAUAUCAACGUAUCGGUGCAGUAUCAUAUCCGUAUCGUAUCUCGUAUCCAGGCUUCGUGGGUUGGUUUGGGAGAGACUAGGCUCUCUAACUCCUAAAGGUUGGUUACCUUUCUGCAGUUACUUACAUGUAUCAAUAAUAAUACAUCACAUGCAUUUCCUUAUUAUUUUACAAUAAUCUACCAAAUACCAUAGAAUUAUCAUUGGUAUUUAUAGAUAUCUGAACCAGUAUCAGCCCUCUAUUCACAAGUUCAUUAAUUAGCUACCUUAAAGUCAAAUGCAUUCAUUUAUUAUAAUUAUAAGUGUGGUACAACUAUGGACUUUUAGGUCCCCACUAAAAAUGAACGCUCUGUUAUCUAGUGUCACGUAUGGUAAUCCCAUGUUCCUUGCUUAUUCAAGAAGAAAGAAAUUUUCAGCUACUCAACAGCAUUUUUUUCUACCAUCUUUAUGCAAAACUAUAUUGCUAAGUUGGGAUAACCAAUUGGUUUUUACUCAAAUGUUAAUGAACUUCAAUUAAGAACUUAUCAUUCGAAAGAAUUAGAGUUUAAAUUCCAACCGAAAUAAUUACUGAUUAGAUUUUACAUACUUCUCGAUCAAACUUCAUAUUAUCAAUAACCGUUUUCUUUAAAAACUAAAGAGUUAAAAUGAAACAAAAAUAUCACAAAAUUGCGCAUUAAUUUCAUGAUCAGAGAACAGUUUGCUUUUCUCUAGAUUUGAAAUCUACUCAAGCAAGGCAUCACAUGGCGCGGAUUAUUCGACAGAUCCUUCAAAGAUAGUGACCACAAUCAAUUUUAUUUUUUUUGAAAGAACCACAAUCAAUUUAUGAAACCGCUUCCAGGCACACGGAUUUAUUUUUUGGACUUGUUUUACGUGUAACCUUUGCCUUAAAUUUCUAUAGCUCCUCCUUCAAAAUAAAAUGAUUUAAUAUAAUUAAAACAGUGAAUAUGAGGCAUAAAGUGAUCUGGUUGCUUACUGAAGUGGUGGUAUUAACGACUUUAUCAAGUAUCAAUCUUUUUAGGUAGUGCAACUAAACUUGAGGUCUCAAACACAUGUCUUAUGUACUUUGAAGAAUUAAAUACAUUCGAUGCACACAUGAAGCUGAAAAGAAGAUAACAAAACAAAAACAAUUGGUUCGUGGGUGAUUACUUUGAAAUUUUUGGAUCUUGGGGAUCUAAUAAUUGUUUAAUGAAUAAACUAUGAAUUUAGUCUUUUAACUAACCUCAUCUUUUCAAUUUAGUCUUUAAACUAUAUAAAUAUAAUAAAUAAUCCAUAUCAACUUAUUUGAUUUAAGGGAUUUAAGGAGUUAAAGAUACAAAGUUCAAACACAAACAAAGAUAAAAAAAAUCUAACAUAAUAAUUAAUAUACUAUUAUUGGCCUAUUAAAAAAAUAUAAUAAAUUGUUUUUAAAGUAUAUAAAAUUUGUCGAUUUAAUCUUUGUUAUUAAAAUAUUAAGAACUAAUUUGACAAAAUUUUAUACACUUUAAGGAUUAAAUUGACAGCUUUUAUUUACUUUAAGAAAUGUUUAUUAUAUUUAUAAUUUAGAGAUCCAAUUAGAGAGAAAAUGAUAGUAUCAUCGUGAGUUUAGCUCAGUUGGUAAUGACAAUACAUAAUAUAUGUAAGGUUUGGGGUUCAAAGUCAGACCACCAUCAAAGAAAUCAAAGAAAAUGAUAUUGAAAAAUUAAGAAAAUCUGGUCCACGUCACUGAUAUUUUUUGACUAUAUUGUUUAAAGUUGAUGUUGCACUAACACUAGAGUAGUUUAAAAUUGCUAAUGAGUGCACUAUUUUAUUUUGCCUUUAUAUCUCGCUGAAAUUAUUGGAUGUGAUUGCUAGCAGGUAAAAAUGAUUAUUCUUUCCCCCUUGAUCUUGUGCAGCACUAGGAAACAAAUUAUUGCUCUUUCCUUUUCUUGUCUUCAUCAUAGGGGCGGUUUCAUUGCAAAUUUCACCUAAUGCAUUAUGCCUUGUUAGUUCGAACUCAACUUCUAUGAAAUUAUGAUUGAAUUAACAUAAUGAAAAGGAGAAAUUGGCCCUGAAGCCAAGUGUGACAUUGAAAUUAAGAUGAUUAUUGGUAUUUUGUCACUUGCAAGAUAUUAUACGGUGCACUUUCUAACCGAUGUAAACAGAGGCAAGAUCAAAAGCAAUAUGGGGGGAUUAAGGAUUAUCUUGUGCCCAAUGGAAGCUUUCUGAACCGAGGAAAAUCCACCUUAGGGGAAAAUGUUCCUUCAUCUGCAAGAAAGUAAAACCUUGUAGUCUAAUUGCUUGAGUUCUUUUAUUUGUGUUGGUCACAUUAAUGUUUCUGAAAGCUUGCCUAAAAUGCAUGCAGUAACUGUGUUAUUGAUGUGGAGUAUCCAUCACUUUUGUCGAUGAAUAAUUUCUGCAAAGGAUUCUAGUUGGCAGCCACCUUAAGAGUUGAGUGGAGUGGAGUCUUCCCUCUUAACUACAUUUUGUUGGUCUACAAUACUCGUACACGAGACCUUGCUUAAGAAAUCAGAUUUCAGUCCGACUCCUCCUAAUGUAAUGUUGAUAUGUAGACAACAUAAUUUUUUGUUUUUCAAUUGAAAUUUCAAUCUUAGUACUUCACGUCGGAGAAAUACAGCUUCUUCUACUAGACACAGCACAUAUUGGUUAUGCAUACCACAUUUUUUUUUUUUCUGAAACCCACACAUAGAACGGUAUUACGGCUUCAAACUUGUGCUUCAACAUAUUAAAUAUGUUCGUAAUCUUUACUCAUAUGACCUACACUUAUAGGAUAAAAAUAAUAAUUAUUAUUUUAUUUUAAUUAAAAUAAAAUAAUAAAUUCACUUGUCUUACUUUCAUUUUCAAAUAUAUCAAAAUUAAUUAAUUAAUUAAAAAUAAAUAAGAAAACAUUUAUUGUUU